This 73066-nucleotide long non-coding RNA is filed under the name Sorghum bicolor (sorghum). RNAcentral's name for it is "long non-coding RNA (SBIC_LNC014169)". The stretch from base 51394 to 51500 matches the Rfam family "Plant small nucleolar RNA R71". The record is from RNAcentral. Lineage: Eukaryota; Viridiplantae; Streptophyta; Magnoliopsida; Poales; Poaceae.
ACUAAGUUUCCCAAAGGGAAUAUUGAAGAACCUCUACGUCCGAGUUGGUACCUUAUACGUUCAGGCAGACUUCGUGGUGAUAGAGACUGGUACUAAUGAGAGGGCACCCAUCAUCCUAGGGAGGCCAUUCCUGAACACCUCGAGAGCUGUCAUCUACGCUAGUGCUGCCAAGAUCAGUUUCUACAUGAAGGGGAGGAAGGAGACGUUUUCGUUCAAGAACAAGACUACACAAAUCUCAGAGCAAUCCCAACAUGAACCAAGGAAAGGACCAACAGGAGGAACAGGAACAAGCAAAUGUAGACCAAGUCAGCUAAGAUGGUCACUGCAGUUCAAGGAGGUCAAGAUCGUCGACUUAAGUCACAGUUCCUGACCAAAAAGGACGACCUAGCUCCAGAUGGCAGAUCAGACAUUCCGAAAGGUUGAAGGUUAUUGACAUGAGAGAAGACGAAUUCGAUCCACCCGUCAUCCUUAGAAGACCGUUCCUCAGCACCGUUAAAGCAAUCAUCUACAUAGGAACCGGAGAAGUCCACAUGCACUUCACCUCUGAGAAGGUACGCCACUGUUUUACUGACCCUAACUAUAUAGUUGAAGACUCUAAGCAGGUCAGAACAAGAAGAAGACGACGCAACCGCAACCAGAGGAGGCAAAGUCAUUAAGGACGGAUGGGCAGACUAUGAAGGAGAAGUGGUAAGGUUUGAAGACAUACAGCUUGAAUAGAACUUUCCUGAGGAGACACCGCCGGAACCACCGACUACGCCAUCCAGUGAAUCCCAGGACGAAUGAGAAAACGGAGAGUCCCAUUCGGAGGACGUUAAAACACCGAACGCCUUGCCAAGAGGUAAACUUGGUAGUUAUCUUUUUCCUUUCAAUUAUUUAAAAUAGUUUGGUUAGUUAAUCAAGUUCAUAUCAUUUUGAAAAGAAAAUAAAAAUGUUAAAAAUAGUAAGCCCCAUGUGAGUAUGCUCAUGGCAUAAAACCCAUAAGUACGUUCACUGUGGUGGCAUAAAAAUUAAAUAAAUAUAUUCCUGUCCUAUAAAAAUAAAAUUAUAAAAAUAAAUUUAUGAUCCUACUAAAGAGAGUAACAUUUAUUGAGGAGGCUCAACAUGAAAAAGGCUAGAUAUUUAUGCUAACACUUAACUAGUUCCACAUAGCUUUGUUGUCUAUUUGAGCUCCACAGGAUUUAAAGAUCAAAGCAGACUAGCAGAUGGAGGACAUCCUAAUCGCUGUCAGGGUGCUGCCAACAUUCAAAUACACCUCCGUCACCUGCUAGCUACAUCAGAAGAAAUUACGUCAAGAUCUAGGUUGGGGGAGAGCACCCCAUUUAUCCAGCUAAGUAUUCUACUCACAUUUAUACUUUACUCUAAUAAUAAAAAGAUGCAUAAUCAUAUAAACCCAAAUAAAGAUUUUGUGCUUAUAUAUAUAUAUAUAUAUAUAUAUAUAUAUAUAUAUAUAUAUAUAUAUAUAUAUAUAUAUAUAUAUAUAUCUUUGCUUAGUUUGCUAAAUAAAUAAAUAAAUAAAGUUUGCUAUGAACCCUCAUGAUAAGCUCUCACAUGGAAAUGAUGAAUAGUUGCUCUACCAUGACUAGUUCUCAAAAUUGAAAUCUCUCUCAAGUUUAGGCAUGACCGGUAUUAAUUAAGAUUUGCUCUAAACCUGAACUUGUGGGAAGAAAACUUGAUCUGAAGUCUAUGUUUUUAACGGAUACGAUUUGGGAAGGUUGAGCUGCUGUUUAUCUGUUCCUAGAGAUACUAGAAUUCUGGAGAAUUUUAUCUUUGAAAAUCUUUAAUAUAUUACAUGAUGAGUUCCUGUAUGAUGAGAGUUUAAAUUUCUACCACAGCCAUAUAUACAUGCUUGCUAGACUUUGAGCCACACAUUUACUUUUUACUGCUUAUGAGCAUUGAGUGUGGUCAAGCUGUGUAGACCCUUAGGAGCUUGUCAUGUGGUUAAAAUCAAGAUUCACUUGCACAUUCACUCACACAUGCUGCUUCUACUCCGGAAGUACGCAUCCACAUACAUCUACUCAUUUCCAUCUCCAGAUUCACCUAAAAAUAUUCUACUCCUAAUCUGGGAGAGAAUAGCAAAAAACAUUUCUAUUUUUCCCUGUGAAAUAAAUGCUCAUGUUAUCUUGGUUACUACCACUUGCUAUAUUAUUUUAGAAGAUGAGUGCUUUAAAAAAAAGAGAAAAAAAAAGAAAGAAUACGAGGAAAUAAAAAGGGGCAUGUGCCCGGAACCUCGAAAGAGAAGAAAAAAUGAGACGAGAGGUAAAAAUGGACAAGUGUCCGACAGUAGAAUUAGGGUACAAGAUACCCACCUGAGAGGAAAGAAAAAGAAAAUAUAGAGCAUCUCAUUCUCCCCAAAAGUUUCAAAAGAGCAAGGAAGGUUUGUAUCCCCUCAAAAGAGCAAAAGUAGAAUUAGACGUUCACCAUUGUUAUCACCAUCAUCACCAUACACCAUUCAUUCACCACACAUACACAUCUUGAUUUGACUUAUUGACUUGUUCUUCUGGAUCCAUGGUUUGACUAUGCAAUAAAUGUCUUGUAAGUAUGUAUUAGCUGUCUCCCACCUAUGAGCUCCAAAUAUCAAAAGCCUUAUUAGUGUAGGGUGAGAGAGAAGGCAAUGUCACUAUGCCUCAUACCAAAAAUACCACAUACUUUGAGAGAAGGCAUACACCGUUACUGCCUUGUUAAGGAUCCAGAAAUACCACAAAAGAGAGACUAGAGAGAGUCAUACAAGGAAUCUCUGAGUUUUAUUUGGAAAUCUACAAAAACUCCAGAGCUAUAGUUAAUUAAAGAACAAGAGACAUGGCACUUGACUAGACCGUUCUAUCUUUUAACUGCUCAAGACACAAGUGACGGUUGCAAGCCCCAUGGUGGAAGGUAAAAUGAGUAAGUUUAAAUCUUAACAGUUUACCCUAGAAAUGAGAUAUUGUUUGAACGCAUGUGUACCUUUAAGGCAUGAAACCACUACAGAAACUCUUGAGUUCAUCUUUUCUCAGGGACGAGCAAAGGUUAAGCUUGGGGGAGCUUGUUGACGGUCCUUAAUGCUCACAUUUAACCAUCAACUAAUCAUGGAAAAGGAUCCAAAUGCAACUAACACCUACACUUAGGGUUUUAUCUGACAGAAUUCCAUGAGUUUGGGUGUUUGUCUAUUUCUGCAGGGGGUUAUCAGAAAAUACGGAAGAAAGGCCCACACGUCGGGUUUACAUAGAGAUAUUAACGUGCCGUGCAAUUUUCUAUCAUCUAGAAGACUACAAAAGCCACGGGAACGAAGCAGAGGUCGAGAGGUCUCAGGGACAGGGCGCCCGCCCAAGUCCUUAGGGCGCCCGCCCAGCUACAGUGUCCAAAUCGGGCCCGUUUCGCGUAUUAUGCUCCACCGACCUAAAGGAUCAAGGAAAACCAUGCGAUCAAUGUCGGUUUGAUCUAAUGACCCAGAUUCAUCUGAAAAGACUACAUAACCAAGACCCUCUGGCCCCUGGUGAUCAUACCUCUUCUACAGAAUCAAAGCUAGGGUUUCAAUUCUUCAUCCAAGUAGAGAGGAUCCCUCUAGUUCUUCUAGUUCUACCUCUAGUUCAUCUAGAUCUAGUUCUAGUUCAUCUAAUUCUAGUUCUAGUUCAUCUAGUUCUAGUUCUAGUUAGUUCUAGUUGUAAUCUAGAAAAUAGGGAGAGAGAAGAGGAGAACGGAGGAGGAGCCAGAUCUGUCGGAUCUUCCUCAACAUUGUACUUUUGCAGCAACUGGUUCGUUCUUCAUCGUUCUCUAGGUUCUUCAAUUCACAAUUCCUGAGUUCUUUAAUUACUUUUAUUUACAUUCAAGUUAUUUAUUGGAUUCCCGCUUGCAUCAAGUGCUCUAAUCUUUGAAACAUUAGAGUAGUAAUUAAUAGAUUAGACGUGGUGUUUAGUCUUGCAAUUACCUGAAAUUGCACCCAAUCCUGCGGAUUGUUGUGGUAGCCCUAGGGUAGUGACAGCCCUAACGGUCGACGUAUUCCACCUCGUUCGGAUCGGUGUUUGUAGGACCGUAGUCAGAGCUUCCUAGCCCCCUUCUCAUCUCUUUCUGUGGUUAGUGUUCUGAUGUCUCGAAAUAUAUAAUCUUGAAGUAAUUCUUGAUUCUUAGAUCAACUAGAGAACUCUCAUGAAACUUCUUCUCUUCCCACCAAAAAUAAUUAUAUAGUUAUCCUUGGGCGAUCUUGAUUCUUAAUUAGUACACUCACGUUCCCUGAGGAAAAUCGAUACUCUAGAAUACUCUCGGGUGAAGGCUACAUCGGUAUCCGUGUGCUUGCGGAUUUUUUCUGUUUGCGUUUAAAAUACCCAACAUCAGACUUAGUGUAGACAUUUCAGAAAUGCUUGUUGACUCUUCUUAGUGUCACUACAUAGGAUUGUCAGUCCUUGGCACAACACUAGAUGCUUGUGUGACACGAGAAGUGGCAAACGGUUUUACCGCAAGCGGACGGUGGUCAAUGUAGCACUUCACUAGGAGUAUUCCACGUAUCUUAUUUUCCACGGGGAAUGAGAAGUGGAAUAACUAGACCAAUUGAGUCAUCGGAUGAUGAUCAAAGGGCUUAGGAUUGGGUAGAGAGUUAUUUCUAAUAUUUUACUUCUAGCUAAGCUAUCCUAAGUAUACUUGAGAGUUAACUCCCUUCCUACUGUGGCCGAUAGGUGAAAAGGGUAUGGCGAAACACUUCCCUAGGCUGCUACCAUGCAGGCCAACUGUUAUUUGCAUCUUGCCUAACAACACACUAAAGAGAACUUCUAAUGUCCAGCAGAGGCCUGUCACGCUGCGCUGCUGGCGUUCUUUAGAUGCAACAAGAAGUCCACAAGGGCAGACUUAGUCUAGAUACCACGUCUACAAUAAUUCUACUACUUUAGAUCCAGCUAAGGUUUCGAGCACUUCACACAAGGCAAAGCAAUGUGCCAGAUAGGCCAGUUGUAUACCUAAAAUAAACUAAUAUAGAAAGUAAAUACUGGAUGUAUUCAGAUGAAAGGUAACUAGAAGGAAGACUUACUAGAAGUCAAGCAUCCGCUGUGGCGCUCCUGGAAGAAGACUCCCGACAAGUCGGGACUCCUCCUCGGGGAACUCCUCACUCUCUUCCCUCCAUUCUCACACUUAGCUAAGUGUAGCUCUUCCUAAGAUACAUCAUGAUUAACUAGGCUCUCUAAGGGGGUAUUUAUAGGGGGAGAUGGAGUAGGGGCUACUCCAGCACCAUGUCAGCGAUUCGUGUACUCCUUCUUCUCCAUCGUUGGAUCAAACUGACCUUGGAACCGCCAUAUGAUCAAUGUUUGGGAAUUUCCAUCACAUGUUCAUCAUGGGGAUGUCGGUGGGAGUGAACCGACUCAAGGUGGGCCCACAUGGCAGGUCGGUCGACCACGCUAUUGCCUCCAUGUGAGUCCCACCACUCUUCUAGAAGAUACUGAUGUCGGUGGGAGUGUGGGCCUGGUGGGUCCCACCAAGUGUAGGUCGGCCAACCUACUCUUUGGGGGGUUGGCCCAACACCUUGCUCCACAUGUUGUCCCCACUUGUCAUCUCCAAUGUUUUGUUGAUAUGUGGUGGUUUUGGUUCUUCAACAUCUUUGCUUCAUUUGAGCUUGAUCAGGCUUGAUUAGUGGUUAUUUGCACCUGCAUCCAAAUAAUGACAUGUACAUGUGGAACCAAGCGAAUUGUACCUAUGUCACUACUUAGUUGCCUGGUGUUAUCCCCAAAACUUAAUCUUUGUUGACGGUUUUAGUGGUCAAAAAUCAUAGUGAAAGUACCGUCAACAAGAUCCCCCACACUUGAGUCUUUACUCGUCCUCGAGUAAAGGUUAGAGACAAGUUAAAGAUCAUGGUGCAUAUAGUUGUAUUCAGGACAUAGCUCAUGCAAAUGGGUUAUGUGGUAAGUGUCUAGCAGAUUUCCUUGAGAAGUUGAUAAGAGGAACAGUACUGUUGAUAUUUGGGAACGCAAUAAGGAAUUGAUCCGCAAGCGCACGGAUAUCGGUGAGCACUUCACCCGGGAUGUUAUCUAGAGUAUCGUAUUUAUAUUUUUACCACUAGGAGAAAGAGUGCAUCUGACUAACCCAGUCUAUUACUCCUAACCUUUAGGCUACAAAGAAUGAUUCUCGAUGUGAGUGAUAUAUAGAGAAGACUACAACUGUAAUAUCUUUCUAACCUUGGUAUGGAUGAUCUACUGUUCUAUUGGGGAACCUUACGGAAUCUAGACACCACAAAGGAUGUUCAACCCGCACCUACAAACCCUAUCCUUCCUGCUAACAAGAUAUGGUCUGCAAAGGUAACUCGGAAAUGUCACGUUCCUCGCUACUACCACGGUCCAGCUAGUCAGGUAAUAUCUAUGAGUAUCCUAGCCCAAACACCACCUCUACGCUAGAGAUGAUUACUCUAAACUCUACGCGAAGAGAUUAAAGUAAACUCAUAAACCAAAGAACAAUAAAACAAGAACUUACUAGUAUUUAGAAGUCGAAAUACUGAAGAAUCCUAGGAGCAAGCUUCGGGUUAGGAGAACUUGAUCCCGUAGAUACAACCUCAGAGUAGACACCGACAGGUCGGGCUUCCUCCGAUCUACACCUCCACUCUAUCUCUCUCAAUCUAGUAGAAACUAGAAGAUCUAAUUCUACUCACAUUGGAUGGUAAGCCCUAAGUCUAUUUAGAGGAGAGGUAUUCCUUCGAGGGCUCCUCUCAACUCUAUGAUGAACUUGUCUCCUCCAGGGGCCAGGGGGUCUGCUUUUAUAGUCCCCUCAGGUGAACGUGGGCCGUUGGAUCAAGCCGACAUUGAUUGAACGGUUAUCCUUGAUCCUUUAGGUCGGUGGAACAUGAUCCACGAGUUUGGAUGUGAUUGGGCAGAACUCUUGGGCGGCCGCCCUAGGGAGGUGGGCAGGCGCCCUGCCCCCGAGCCCGAUCGCCUUCCCGUUCGUUCCCGUGGGUUUUGAAGUCUUCUAGAUGGUAGGAAAUUGCGCGGUGCGGUAAUAUCUCUAUGUAAUUCCGACAUGUGUGCCUUUCUUCCCUAUUUCCUGAUAACCCCCUGCAGAAACAGAUAAACAACAAAACUCGUGGAAUUCUGUCAGAUCAAACCCUAAUUCUAGGUGUUGUUUGUGUAUUGAUCCUUUCUCUUGUUUAUUUGUUAAUUAAAAUUGAUACUUAAGAACCCUCAACAAAUACCCCCAUACUUAGGCUUUUACUCGUCCUCGAGAAAAGGAUGGUUAAGAAAAAUAUCUGGGGUUAAAACAUUGUAAAACAUUCUCUUCAUACCUGUAGGGUGUUGUAAAAAUUCACUGUAUACCAUAGUCAGGGAAAUAUAUGAUCAAGAGUAGAGAUCCUUUCUUCCUUUCAAUCCUCUUACUUGGAGUUUUUGUAUAUUUUUGAAAAGAAAUUUAGCAUACCUUUUAUCCUCAUAGGUUCUCUCAGGUAACUCUUUAUCUUUUAUAUAUCUCACUGAGGCUGUUUUAAUUUGCAAAAAUUCUCAAGCAUUUUUACCUUGCAUUUAUUGCCUGAUCAAAAUGGGAUCCGAGGAGAAGAAUGCCAUACUCUUAGAUCAAAGGCUUUGGAAAUGAAAAACUUGUCAACUCUUCCUGGCAUAUUGCUUAUUAGAGGGACCAUGGGCUAUCAUUUUCUUUUUCUUCGUUCUCUCUUUUUUUAAGUGGAUACCGAGGUACCCCUAAUUCUACUCCCGGACACUUGUCCAUUUUUUCUGCGAGGUUAUCGAGCACUUGCUCCUUUUUAUUUCCUCGAAAUAUCCUUAUUUUUGCAUAGCCCAUGCCUCUAAUGCAAUAACAAUUUGGAAGAGUGAAUCUGUAACAUCUUGAAUACGUUUAUUGCGUUAGAAGUGUAAAGUGGCAAAAUAAUAAUAAUUGUAAUUUUAUCCAUCACUCAAAUGAAUGAUCAGAGAUUUCAGAUGCGCAGAGCUCGUCGAAUGCUUUCAGUUGCACUACUCAUAUGUAUUGUUUGGAAUUUGGAUCAUGGAGAUAUAAAUUUCAGAAGUUUAAAGAAAUAAAAAAUAAAUAGGACCUUGUUACUGUAGCAUGACGCUACAGUGCCGCGCCACUACAAUACCCGUGGUGGCCUUUUAUAUCCUCCUCCAAGGCCUUUAGGUUUAAUCCAUAGCUUUUCAUAUUCAGGAUAAAAAAAGAGGAGAGGGGAGAAAAGAGAAAGGGGAAGAGGGAAGGGGAGAAUAGUGCCUAGGGUUUUGCCGCCGCCGUCGGUCAUCCGUGGUGGUCGUUCUUCCUCCCGUGGAAUAUACGGUUCGGUUCUACCUUGUAUCUUGGCUGUCCCAAUGAUCCACCAUGUCCCUUUUGCAGUCCAUGAGGGCUUAGCCAUGUUUGGCGUAGAUCGGAAUAACAAGACUUUUGUGGCGGCAAGGAUCGUGGCGAGUUGGAUCGGAGAUGAUGGAAAGGUGAAGAGGCGGAGAAGAAGGAGUAGACGCCGAGAGUUUCGGCGUCGUGCUCGCUGUGGUUCUCUAGGUGAGAAGCCAAAUAUUAAUCCCCUUCAUCUGAUCAAGUUUUGCGGAUUAAAUCGCUUAUUUGGGAUUGGGUUUAGUGGAGAAAUUCUCGAAGUCAUUUACGUUCAUGUUCUGAAAUUCUCGUCAGACUGAGCAGUCCAUGUUCAUCGUAAUGUUAGGGCAUUUUAGAGUCUUUAAUAAUUUUUGGGUCUGUGGACAAAGUUGUAGAGGACUUCAAUAUAUUUCUUUGGACGCCAAGAAUUCUAUCAUAGCAGUUAUAAUUUGUGAGAUAUCGAGUUUUCAAUCUGACUGGUUUCCAGUGACGAAAAUCUGGACAGUUUUGGAUCUAAGCAGUUUUUGACCCUGUUAAUUAAAUAAUUAGGUCUUUGAUUAUUAACAAAGGUUUUAGGAUUUUUGUUAAGCUUUCUAGAUUGGUAAAGUUUGUAACUUUUGAAUCAGUAUAUCUCCUGUUAUGAAUUUUUGAAGUUUGAUGUUCUGCUUUGAAGGUCAGAAAUAUUCAGUUGUGUUCGAUGGUUAAUUAUACCAUCUUGCAGAUCUUUGAUGCAAAACCUUACAAUAAAAAAGUUGUAUAUAACAGAGUUUUACAUGAUUUGAUAAAUUGUGGUAAUUUUUGGAUGAGUAUUCUGAAGUAUAUGAAAAAGAGAAGAGUCGGUGCUGCUGUCUUGAUCGGUAGCGCAAACGGUAGAGGCUUGAAUGUCGGGUUUGGGGCGCUUUAGUGCGUAUUUGUUCUUACUCUUGCUUGUAUGUUGGUGUAUGUACUAAUUAGUAUUUGUGAUCAGGUGGUAGCACUUCGGAACAUCGCUAGUGCUUUUGUUCUCCUUCGGUAAAGAGGCAAGUGAAUGUAGCGGUGGUUUGCUACCGUUUUGGCUUGUUAUUUUUAUCACCUACAGUUUAUUGUCUAUAAGAAUGUCACCUCUCUCAUAUCUAAAAUUUAUGAUUUGGGUAUAUUUAGUCAUAGUUAAAUUAUGGUCUUAUUUAAGUACUUAUGGUGAUGGUAUUAUUUUAUAUUGUUAUUUGUGGCUAGCCCGCAAACCUGAAUUUUAAGUUGGAGUAUCAUUGGUGAUUAUUAAUUUUAUUGCAACAUGCCAAGUGCAUUGCAUCAUUCAUUGGCAUUGGAAGUUAUGUCUUGACAUAUGGUCAUGACUGUACCGGUACGCAUCAUGGGAUGCAGCUCCACACCUUGUUGGGUGUGCAGGCAGGAGACAUAUGCAUUGCAUUCAUAUGCAUUCAUGAGAAGUAUGUUAUUGAAGGGAUUUUAUCCACGUUAUUAUGAAGCUCUGUAUUAUUGGCUAUGUUCCAAAUUGGAAGACUGUUACAUUAGUAUGAUAUUUUGUCAAUUGGGAACAUCAUAUUAAAUUGAUGUUAAUUCAAAUUGUGGUUUAAAUAGCUUGUCAAAACAAGUUCGCUUGCUGAGAUGUUUCAUCUCACCCUUGCUUUAUUCAAUCCAGGUACUUGAUGCUUACUUGGAAGGGAACGGAAUUAGCUGCACGUCACACACUUAUUCAUUUAGAGACCUUGUGUUUUAAUAAAUAAUAAUUUGGUUUGCUUAUUGGUUUUGAAGGCGAUUGUUAAAGUGUGGGUGUUAAACUUAAUUCUUGUUGAAGUAACUUAUUUGCGUUAGGAUGUUCAUUAAUCCUAGUUUGGUAUUUCAGUAUUUUUUAUAUUUUAUUCUUCUGCUUGCUAUAAAUACAAAGAAGAUGCUGCCAAAUUGUUUAUUGGUUGUGUGCAGCUGUUGUUUGUGUAGUCUAGUAGCAUCCCGGUGUAUUUGUGGUUUUCGGGGUGUUACAGUUGGUAUCAAAGCCAGGUUUUAGAUUCUCGGAAAAAAGUAAGAUUUAAAAUUACACACUUGCACAUGUAAGUUGGGUAUGGAUUUAUAUGUUAGGCAUACCUUUUGAUGCUAAGGUAUUUGUUUUUCUUAUGUAUCCAUAUGCCUAUGUUACAUAUCAUUGCUAUUGUUAACUUUAAGUCAUGUGUAAAUUUUAUAGGCUUUGUUUACCUAAUUUUUAUUUGUUGUUGCCAUAUCUUGUAUAUAUUAAAUAUGAUCUAGUGCAUAUUAGUUAUUCUUACAAGUACAAACUUGACAAGUUUUGUCGCUAUGAUGUUUUGCAUAAGUGUACCUUUAAAGUAUUGUAGUUUUAUGUGCUUGAGUAGCGAAGAUGAUGAAUGUUCUUUAUGUUUUGUUGAUAGCAAAAGAUCUUGGAACCUCGUAGAGUAGCUAUAGUUUAGUAGUACAGAUGGGCGGAGUGGAGGGCCCCCACAAUGCUUUUUCUGCACUACUAUGUGAGGGUUUUCUGAGAGAUAGGUAGCGACCCAACUAUCUGUAUUCGAAGAAAAUAGUUGAGUGACGGGUGGAUUGGCCCCCAUGCCGUGCACUCUAGCUAUUCUCUCUCGACAUAUUGAUUGGUGGGACGUUGUGUGACUUGCCCUAUAUGUUCAUGUUGUGAUGUAUAAACCUAAGCCUAGAAUGGUGUAGGUUAUGCCAUGGUGCAGUUGUAACCUUACACAGGUCAUAGUGAUUCAGUGAUAGAAGUGCAUAUUAAGAGUUACAUGUGGUUUGAGGGUUAUAUGCAAUCAUGUGUUUUUUUUGUCGAGUGCAUGCUGGUUAUCUAAUUAAUUUCUAGUGUCCAAGUAUGUGAGCUUACCCUUGUAAUGCUUGGGUGAAGUGUUUGCUUGAAGACAUGAUUUUACUGUGUUCUAGGUCAUGACUACUUUAUUAUAAGUUGCUUUAAAGUUGUCGUUUUUAUUUUGAGUAGGAUUUGGGUUUACUAAGCGGAGAAGUGCCUGAACUCUAGAAGUCAUAUUUGUUGCUAGUGCAUGAAUAGAUAUUUAGAAGAGUUGGUUAAAUUAGUAUUCAUGAUUCCAUAAGCGUUUAUCCUUAACAUGAUGUUCAUGUUCUUUAAAAAUGUGAAGUUGUCUCACUUCAUUCCUUAGCCGUGGCUAUUGUUUGACUGAACUGAUCUAAUUCUUUAUGUGCAUGCUUAAUAUGUCAUCUUCAACUUACUUACAUGAUUUGGUUGAAUUAGUCCUUGUAGAUGGCUUCUUGGGUUUGCAAGUCAUUUUUUUACUUGUGUGGUAUUUAUCUUUGUAGGUCAUACAUAUGUUGUCUGUGUUUAGUGUUGUUCUAGAAUUCAUGGACGAAUUCUUUUUAGUGUAUGUUAAGAAGCACAAAGUGGUAAAUGGUCCAAUGAGAGUUUUUUGAGUUGCAAAAAAAAUAUCCAAUGCCCGGAUGGAUGAUUAGAGACCAUAGUUGCGUAGAGCUCGAUGAACUCUUUCUGUUCGACUUCACGCGUUGUUUGGAGAUUGAUUUGCUCAACUAGGGCUGAUACAGUAUUUAUGGAAGGGAAAUAUAUAGUAGACCAUCAAUAAAUCGUGCUACGGUAUCAUAGUUGGCCGUAUUGCGAGCGUUUCUGGUGACUUUUCACCUAUGUCUCUUCUUUUCCUUUUUUCCUUGCCCCUAAUCCUCCUAGGACUCCCAUUUCUUUUUCUAAGACUUUGGAUUCAUGUUGUCUGCUGCUGCCAUUGACUAACCAGAGAAGGGAGGAAUGAUAGAGAAAAUAAGAAAGACAAGUGAAUGAGAAAAAAGGGAUUGCACAAACCCUAAGUUUUUUUUAUUGCAUAAUCUAGGUGAGAUGAAUCUUAUUUAACCCCCUUGCUUUGGAUUAGAUUUAUACCCUGGUUUUUUUUGUUAGAUUAGAUGGGGUAGUUCUCAUCAGUGAUCAUGUCCACAUCCUGAGAAUUUAUGAGGUUGUGUAGUCUGUGUUCAUUGCCAUCUUUAUUUUUGUUACAGGCCGAAUUGGCCAAACCAUUGAACACCAAAUUUAAAGAUAUUUUCUUUAACCAUCUGUAAAAUUUCAUGAUUUUAGGCUAUGUGGUUUGAGAUUUUUUUUACUAUAGUUGUUGCCGUUUCCAUGUUGUUCUAGAUAGUAAUAGAUUGAUCCAGUUUUUGUCAAUGCUAAAGGUCAAAUCAGUCUUUAUAAUGAAUACCAAAGUUGUAGUGUUUUUUACUAUCUUUCCAAUGGUGUAUGAUUCAGUGUCAUAUCUGAAAUAUAAAUUUAGAUUUAUGCUUUUGAAUUGAGUUUGUGAUUUCUGAUGUCAAAUUCUGUGUUCGAUGUUACUACCUUAACUAGAACAUCUUGAUGAUUUUUACUGAAAGUAUCUAUAGAACAAACGUUCUGUAUAAGACAAUUUUACAUGAUAGAGGUAAAGUUUCAUAAUUGUUGGUCAAGUGUUUUAUAGUAGAUAUCAAUAUUAUUUUGGUGACUAUUAGAAUUUAGGACAAAUUUCAUUUUUCUGAAUUCAACUCAGUUUAGGUAUGCUUAAAUUCAGAAUAAAAACAUUGUGUCUUCAUAAAAACUAUAAACCUUGUUUUGUAGUUUUCAAAUAUUCAUUUGUUUACUAUCAUUGCUUUUGAAAACUAAAGAUACAUAAAUAUCAAAAGGUUAUGCUGCUGUUAGCCAAAAAUAGUGUUGGUCAUUUUGUUUUUCUCAAUGGGUUGGAGUGUAGUGAUGCAUUACUUGUUAUUCAUAUAUGUUCAUGUUUGUGCCUAUAAGAUAGACAAAAUUGUAGGUUGCACCAUUGUUUCGGUUUGUUUUGUUUGUUUGGCAAAUUUGCCAAGCUUGAUAUAGUGUUUGUCCCAAUGGGGAGUAGCUAAGGUCACACCUGACCCUUUGAUAUGUGCAUGGUUGUCAUGCUAGUUGGUCUCGUUCCAUGAGGAAAAAGUUUUGAGGUGAAAGGAAGCAAGUGUUUUGUCUUCACUCAUAGAUGGGCACAUAGUCUAUGGUGUAUUAACAAGAACUAGUUUUGGCACGAAGUUCUGUUUCGUAGUUCAUGGUGCCACCUCAAGCUACUAGUUGGUUUGAGGCAAAUGUUGACCCAUGGAAUCAGUGAUCAUCAGUUGCUUGAUGGUUGUUCUAACCAGAAGUUUGGUAAUGUCCUCUAGGCAAAUUAAAUGUGAUAUACAAUCUUAUCAUUGAUUGUUCCCUGGAUGUUUCUUUGUCAAGUAAUUGGAGCACGUAGGAGGAUUAUGUCUAGCUCCUAGCUAGUUUAUUCCAGUCGAGCCUAUGAAAUUUCUUAGUUUGUUUCUUUUAUCAAGGAAUGAAAGGUCUAGUGGCUUGAUCAUUUAAUCGAGAAAGGCAGGAGACAUUUUUUUAUGGGCCACUUUAAGCUUGUCUUAGAAAUAACCUAUGUGUUUGUUAAGGCGGCAUUUUGUCAUCUUGUUCUUUGUCAUUGUAGGGAAGUUUGACAACUGUGGUGGAUUUUUUUUACAUGUCAGUUUGCUGCUGUAUGAAGAGCCAUCAAAGUAAGAAAGUGUGGCCUUAGAUUUUUUUAUAACCUUUAUGCUAUUAGAAUAUCCUUAUUGAGACCAUGAGUUUGAGUUCAAGCAUUGACUAUUCAUAGAUGAUCGAAAUUUCCGAGUUGAGUGUCCCAGUGCAUAUAUAUAUAUGAGUGUCAUUCGUUGGUGUUUGUGUUUUUGUUUGAAGUGCUUUUUACUGGGUAUCCAGAUCAAAAGUAUUCUCAGUAGUAGUUCCUUGCUUCAUAGCACGAGAUCUUGGCCAUGUUACAAGUGCAUCCUUUUGAGAAGAGUCUUAUACUUUUAGUUUGCUUAUAAUUGGAGGAAUUCGGGGACGAAUUCUUUUAAGGUGGUAGAAUGUAACAUCUUGAAUAUGUUUAUUGCGUUAGAAGUGUAAAGUGACAAAAUAAUAAUAAUUGUAAUUUUAUCCAUCACUCAAAUGAAUGAUCAGAGAUUUUAGAUGCGUAGAGCUCGUCGAAUGCUUUCAGUUGCACUACUCAUAUGUAUUGUUUGGAAUUUGGAUCAUGGAGAUAUAAAUUUCGGAAGUUUUAAGAAAGAAAAAAUAAACAGGUAGCGUUACGCUACAGUGCCGCGCCACUACAGUACCCGUGGUGGCCUUUUAUAUCCUCCUCUAAGGCCUUUAGGUUUCGUCCAUAGCUUUUCAUAUUCAGGAUAAAAAAAGAGGAGAGGGGAGAAAAGAGAAAGGAGUAGAGGGAAGGGGAGAAUAGGGCCUAGGGUUUUGCCGCCGCCGUUGCCGCCGCCGCCGUCGGUCAUCCGUGGUGGUCGUUCUUCCUCCCGUGGCGUAGAUCGGAAUAACAAGGCUUUUGUGGCGGCAAGGAUCGUGGCGAGUUGGAUCGGAGAUGAUGGAAAGGUGAAGAGGCGGAGAAGAAGGAGUAGACGCCGAGAGUUUUGGCGUCGUGCUCGCUGUGGUUCUCUAGGUGAGAAGCCAAAUAUUAAUCCCCUUCAUCUGAUCAAGUUUUGCGGAUUAAAUCGCUUAUUUGGGAUUGGGUUUAGUGGAGAAAUUCUCGAAGUCAUUUACGUUCAUGUUCUGAAAUUCUUGUCAGACUGAGCAGUCCGUGUUCAUCGUAAUGUUAGAGCAUUUUAGAGUCUUUAAUAAUUUUUGGGUCUGUGGACAAAGUUGUAGAGGACUUCAAUAUAUUUCUUUGGACGCCAAGAACUCUGUCAUAGCAGUUAUAAUUUGUGAGAUAUCGAGUUUUCAAUCUGACUGGUUUCCAGUGACGAAAAUCUGGACAGUUUUGGAUCUAAGCAGUUUCUGACCCUGUUAAUGAAAUAAUUAGGUCUUUGAUUAUUAACAAAGGUUUUAGGAUUUUUGUUAAGCUUUCUAGAUUGGUAAAGUUUGUAACUUUUUAAUAAGUAUAUCUCCUGUUAUGAAUUUUUGAGGUUUGAUGUUCUGCUUUGAAGGUCAGAAAUAUUCAGUUGUGUUCUAUGGUUAAUUAUACCAUCUUGCAGAUCUUUGAUGCAAAACCUUACAAUAAAAAAGUUGUAUAUAACAGAGUUUUACAUGAUUUGAUAAAUUGUGGUAAUUUUUGGAUGAGUAUUCUGAAGUAUAUGAAAAAGAGAAGAGUCGGUGCUGCUGUCUUGAUCGGUAGCGCAAACGGUAGAGGCUUGAAUGUCGGGUUUGGGGCGCUUUAGUGCGUAUUUGUUCUUACUCUUGCUUGUAUGUUGGUGUAUGUACUAAUUAGUAUUUGUGAUCAGGUGGUAGCACUUCGGAAUAUUGCUAGUGCUUUUGUUCUCCUUCGGUAAAGAGGCAAGUGAAUGUAGCGGUGGUUUGCUACCGUUUUGGCUUGUUAUUUUUAUCACCUACAGUUUAUUGUCUAUAAGAAUGUCACCUCUCUCAUAUCUAAAAUUUAUGAUUUGGGUAUAUUUAGUCUUAGUUAAAUUAUGGUCUUAUUUAAGUACUUAUGGUGAUGGUAUUAUUUUAUAUUGUUAUUUGUGGCUAGCCCGCAAACCUGAAUUUGAACUUGGAGUAUCAUUGGUGAUUUAUUAAUUUUAUUGCAACAUGCCAAGUGCAUUGCAUCAUUCAUUGGCAUUGGAAGUUAUGUCUUGACCUAUGGUCAUGACUGUACCGGUACGCAGCUCCACACCUAUGAUCAUGGGAUGCAGCUCCACACCUUGUUGGGUGUGCAGGCAGGAGACAUAUGCAUUGCAUUCAUAUACAUUCACGAGAAGUAUGUUAUUGAAGGGAUUUUAUCUACGUUAUUAUGAAGCUCUGUAUUAUUGGCUAUGUUCCAAAUUGGAAGACUGUUACAUUAGUAUGAUAUUUUGUCAAUUGGGAACAUCAUAUUAAAUUGAUGUUAAUUCAAAUUGUGGUUUAAAUAGCUUGUCAAAACAAGUUCGCUUGCUGAGAUGUUUCAUCUCACCCUUGCUUUACUCAAUCCAGGUACUUGAUGCUUACUUGGAAGGGAAGGGAAUUAGCUGCACGUCACACACUUAUUCAUUUAGAGACCUUGUGUUUUAAUAAAUAAUAAUUUGGUUUGCUUAUUGGUUUUGAAGGCGGUUGUUAAAGUGUGGGUGUUAAACUUAAUUCUUGUUGAAGUAACUUAUUUGCGUUAGGAUGUUCAUUAAUCCUAGUUUGGUAUUUCAGUAUUUUUUAUAUUUUAUUCUUCCGCUUGCUAUAAAUACAAAGAAGAUGCUGCCAAAUUGUUUAUUGGUUGUGUGCAGCUGUUGUUUGUGUAGUCUAGUAGCAUCCCGGUGUAUUUGUGGUUUUCGGGGUGUUAUAGAAUCUUUCUGAAUAAAUGUCUUGAUCUUAGGAGCAUGAUAAAUCUCUCAACAAGGGUCUAACUCAAUUUGAACAAACUCAAUACAGAGUAGAUAGCUUUUAUAAUGAUAAUUAAUAUUUUCAGUUUUAUCAAGCAUAUACAACACUGAGGAUGGUAGCUAGAAUUUUAAAGAUUUUCAAAUAAAUUCUCCAAGCAACAAUGAUAUCAAGAAUAAGAAACUCAUACUCUACCAUCUCACAUUCCACAAUGACUUUAGUAACACAGAGUUUUAAAAUGAUUUUUCAAUAAUUGCAAGUUUCAGGAAAUAUCACAAAGUGAGAUUAAUCAUGAUUAGAAACAUUUUAAUCUUUUUAAUUUAUCAUGUCGAAGACAAUAUUCUGCAUAAUCCAAGAUAUGUGUAUGUGUAAAGUAUGCAGAGUGUGUACCUGAAUCGUGGAGUGGUGUAGUCGAAGUGUGUUUGGCAUGUCGAGGGAUCUCCCCCAUACUUGUUUUCUUGAAUAACGUACCUUCGUCGUUUUGAAGUGUGAUAGCUCUGUGGGAUGAUGAAUUGAUUACCUUGAAUGGUCCUUCCCAUUUACUCCGGAGUUUUCCAUGCGCGAAAAGCUUCACCAUGGAAUAAAAAAGUAAUACCUUAUCUCCGGGUGUGAACUCCUUCUUCUUGAUUCUCUUGUCAUGCCACCUUUUGACUCUUUCUUUGUAGAUCUUUGAAUUGUGAUAUGCUUUCUCUCGCCAUUCUUCCAAUUCUGAUAGUUGCAUUCUUCAAUGAUUUCCAGUGACAUCUAUGUCCAUAUUCCAUCUUCUUAUGGCCCGGUGUGCUUUGAACUCUAGUUCAACAGGUAGGUGACAAGUCUUGCCGUACACCAAUUGGUAUGGAGACAUUCCAAUUGGGGUCUUGUAUGCUGUCCGGUAUGCCCAGAGUGCAUCGGGUAACUUGUCUUUCCAUGCCGUUCCCAUUUCAUUCACUGUCUUCUGAAGAAUAUUCUUGAUUUGCUUGUUGGAAGUCUCUGCUUGGCCACUUGUCUAUGGAUGAUAGGGGGUAGCAACGUUGUGACGGAUUCCAUAUUUUGAUAGAUAUUGCUUGAAGCGUUUGUCGAUGAAGUGUGCUCCUCCAUCACUUAUCACUACUCUGGGAACUCCAAAUCUUGGAAAUAUAAUUUCUUCAAACAUCCUCUUUGAACUGAUGUUGUCGGCAUGCUUGCAAGGUAAUGCCUCUACCCACUUGGAGACGUAGUCAACUGCUACCAAGAUGAUCUCACACUUCUUUGAUGGGGAAAUGGACCCAUGUAUUCUAUUCCUCAGACAUCAAAGAGCUCAAUCUGAAGGUUGUUGGUGAGUGGCAUGGCAUCCCUUGUGUUUAUGUUUCUGUACCUUUGACAUGGCCCAUAUCUUCUGAUAUAUUGCUUCGUGUCUUCAUACAUUGUAGGCCAGUAGAAUCCACAUUGCUAGAUCUUUGAACGUGUACGGAAUGCUCCAUAAUGACCUCCAUAUGGUGAUGAAUGACAUCUGUCGAUGAUCUUCUAGCCUUCCUCCGUGGUCACACAUGUCCUGAGUAAGCCAUCAGCGCAUACUCGGAAGAGGUAUGACUCAUCCAUAUAUGUCAACGACUUUCUUGAAUAAGCUUCUUCUUGUUUGCUCCUGGUGGUACAUACCCUGAAACCAUAAAAUUAACAAUAUCUGCAUACCAGGGGUCAGACUUGUUAAUCCCGUAGAGCAUGUCGUCCCGGAGUGAAUCAUUGAUGGGGGUUUCCUGUGGACUCUUAAAAUAUAUUCUAGACAAGUGAUCAGCAAUAGAAUUUUCUACUCUCUUUUUAUCUUUUAUUUCUAAGUCAAAUUCUUGAAGUAAUGAGAUCCAUCGAAUCAGGCAAGGUUUAGCAUCUUUUUUAGUGAGCAAAUAUUUUAGUGCAGCAUCAUCAGUGUAAACAAUUAUUUUAGCUCCAACUAAAUAAGAUCUAAAUUUAUCAAUGGCAAAGACAACAACCAGAAGCUCUUUUUUAGUGGUUGCAUAAUUAAGUUGAGCUCCUGUCAAAGUUUUACAGGCAUAAGCGAUUGCAUGAUGCUUCUUAUUUUUAGUUUGUCCCAAAACUGCCCCCACAGCAUAAUCACUAGCAUCACACAUAAUUUCAAAAGGCAAUGACUAAUCAGUGGGUUGAAUGAUUGGUGCAGAGAUGAGUGCAUUCGUUAAUAAAUUGAAAGAUGUUAGACAUGCAUCAUCAAAUUCGAAACGACCAUCCUUGGCUACCAAAAGAGUAAGUGGUCUAGCAAUGAAUGAAAAAUCUUUUAUGAAUCUACGAUAAAAACCAGCAUGGCCAAGAAAGCUUCGAAUUCCUUUUAUAUUCACAAGUGGAGGUCGUUGUUCAAUUACUUCAAUUUUAGCUUUGUCUACCUCAAUACCUCUUUCAGACACUAGGAGUCCCAGCACUAUUCCUUCCCUAACCAUGAAAUGACAUUUUCCCAAUUAAGGACUAAGUGCCUUUCUUCACAUCUUUGCAAAACCUUGUCUAAGUUUUCAAGACAACUAUCAAAAGUUUUUCCAUAAACAGAGAAGUCAUCCAUGAAAACAUCCAUAAUCUCUUCAAUCAUAUUAGAAAAUAUAGACAUCAUGCAUAUUUGAAAAGAAGCUGGUGCAUUACAUAACCCAAAAGACAUUCUACGGUAAGCAUAAGUUCCGUAUGGUCAUGCAAAAGUGGUUUUGCUUUGAUCAUCGGGAUGGAUCGGGAUCUGGUGAUACCCUAAAUAUCCAGCAUAAGUUCCGUAUGGGCAUGUAAAACUGGUUUUGCUUUGAUCAUCGGGAUGGAUCGGGAUCUGGUGAUACCCUGAAUAUCCAUCUAAGAAACAGAAGAACGAAUGGUUCGCUAAUUGCUCUAGCAUCUCAUCUAUGAAAGGUAAAGGAAAAUGAUCCUUUCUCGUGGCUUUGUUUAGUUAACUAUAGUCUAUGCACAUCCGCCACCCUGUGACGGUGCGCUGCGGAAUUAGCUCGUUCUUUUCCUUCAUAAUAACAGUCAUGCCUCCCUUUUUAGGCACAACUUGAACUGGGCUCACCCACUCACUGUGUGGCACAGGAUAUAUAAUCCCUGCAUGCAACAACUUUAUAACUUCCUUUUUAACUACCUCUCUCAUCGUGUUGUUAAGUCUACAUUGGGGUUCUCGAGAAGGUGAAACAGAAGGAUCUGUUGGAAUACGAUGGGUACAAAUCAUAGGACUGAUUCCUGUAAGAUCUUGGAGUGAGUAGCCGAAAACUGAGUGAUGUUUCUCAAGAAUGGUCAUCAAUCGCAGAGUUUGCUCCUGAGUGAGUUUAUCACUAAUGACCACAGGAAACUCUGGAUUAUUGUUUAGGAAAGCAUAGAUAAGACCGGGUGGUAAAGUUUUAAGCUCUAUGGGAGGUCUAGGUGUUUCUGCAAACUCAACUAAGGGUUCAGGUUCAGAAGGUUCAGCUUCUUCUUCUGUGAAGAAAGGAAUUUCGUCUUCUAAGUCUAGUUCAUCCAAAAGCUCUAGAGAUGCAGCCUUUACGUCCUCCAUAGGACCAGGCAAAAGAUAUGACUCGGCCUUAUUAUUUAAGGAGUGUGAAAUUGUUAUUAGAAAUUAAAAAGUUUUCCCAAAAGAAAUGUGUAGCUUUCCAGUAUGACCUUCAUAAAGGAGUCUUCUAAAAGGUUGUCCUAUCAACAGGUCGAAGUCCCAUGUAUCAAAGAUAUAGAAGUUUAAAUGAACCAUGGAGCCUUCUACCGUAAGAGGUAGGACAUUAAUAAUUCCAAGACUGGGGACUAAUCAUCGUGAAGAUUCCUUUAUGACCUUUGUUGUGGGGGUUAAGACAAGAUUUUUAAAUAAUUUAAGUGCAAAAGUUUCAGACAUGAUGUUGAUCCCCACAACAGGAUUAUAGAGAGCAUCAAAUCGAUCAGAAUCAUAAGCACAACAUAUAGUUAUAGAGGGUGUGUCCAGACGGAUCACCUCAGAGGAAAGCUCUGAUUCCUCCAACCACUCGCUACUCAUGACUGAGAUAAGCUCUCUCAAUUGAUGUUCAGUUGGUAAACAAAUGCUAAAAUGGCCGUUUUGGGGUCUGUUAGUAGAAUGGUAGUUUGAAUUGUUUCCAAAAUCGGCAAAAAGAUCAGAUUCUAUAUCCAGCAUGAAAUCCGGUGGUGGAAUUUCUUCCUUUUGUGGCUCAGAACUUGGGAUAGCUAAAGUAGAUGGAGAAUUUGGCAGAGUGUCUACUUCAGCUUCGUGGGUUUCAUCAUGAGGGGUAUUAUCCAUCUCAGCUUCUAGGAUUCUAUCUAAGAUCACUCUAGCAUCAUCAGUAGGGAUACGAAAGAAAGAACCUCUAGACAUUGUAUGUAGCAUUUGUUUGUGAUCUUUUUGAAGACCUUGAAAAAAGUGAAACAAAAGAACAUGGUCUUCAAGAUUAAGGUUUGGACCAUAUUCUAAAAGACCAGAAAAACGUUUCUAGGAUUUUCCCAAAGUUUCAUUAUCUUUUUGUUUAAAAGAUAGGACUUCGAGUCUAAGGUCACCGAUACGGUCGAGGGAAUAAAAAUCUAGACAAAAGCUGGCUCGUAAAACUCCCGAUUCACCUUGUUGACUUACCUUCUGACUGUACCAUUGUCUAGCUUCUCCCCUUAAAGAAAAAGGAAAAAGCUUUCAACAUAAAGUUUUAUCAGAAAUGCCUUCAAUGCGAAGACAAUCACAUGUUUGCUCAAAAUCUCUAAUAUGAAGGUAAGGGUUUUCGUCUUCCUUUCCUGAAAAAGAUAGGUUUUGAAUCAUAGCAAUCAACCUAGAACUUAACCUAUACUGGGUUGUUUGGAUAGGCUGUGAUGACUCCCAUGGUAAAAGGUCAGUUACCGAAGGUAUUGCAGAUUGAUAGAUCGAUUUGGAAUCUUGGUUUUCCAUAAGGUAAGAAUAAAGAAAAUAAAGAAUAUAAAAAGAUAAGAAAAGAUAAAAGUAUAGAUACAAGCUAGUACUAAGACUCAAGGUUAUCUCAGCAAACCGUCUUUCUCCCCGGCAACGGCGCCAGAAAUGCUUGUUGAUAUUUGGGAACACAAUAAGGAAUUGAUCCGCAAGCGCACGGAUAUCGGUGAGCACUUCACCCGGGAUGUUAUCCAGAGUAUCGUAUUUAUAUUUUUACCACUAGGAGAAAGAGUGCAUCUGACUAACCCAGUCUAUUACUACUAACCUUUACGCUACAAAGAAUGUUUCUUGAUGUGAGUGAUAUAGAGAGAAGACUACAACCGUAAUCUCUUUCUAACCUUGGUAAGGAUGAUCUACUGUUCUAUUAGGGUACCUUACAGAAUCUAGACACCACAGAGGAUGUUCAACCCGCACCUAUAAACCCUAUCCUUCCUGCUAACGAGAUAUGGUCUGCAAAGGUAACUCGGAAAUGUCACGUUCCUCGCUACUACCACGGUCCAGCUAGUCAGGGAAUAUCUAUGAGUAUCCUAGCCCAAACACCACGUCUACGCUACAAAUGAUUACUCUAAACUCUACGCGAAGAGAUUAAAGUAAACUCAUAAACCAAAGAACAAUAAAACAAGCUUUAGAAGUCGAAAUACUGAAGAAUCCUAGGAGCAAGCUUCGGGUUAGGAGAACUUGAUCCCACAGGUACAACCUCGGAGUAGACACCGACAGGCCGGGCUUCCUCCGAUCUACACCUCCACUCUAUCUCUCUCAAUCUAGUAGAAACUAAAAGAUCUAAUUCUACUCACAUUGGUUGCUAAGCCCUAAGUCUAAUUAGAGGAGAGGUAUUCCUUCGAGGGCUCCUCUCAACUCUAUGAUGACUUGUCUCGUCCAGGGGCCAGGGGGUCUGCUUUUAUAGUCCCCUCAGGUGAACGUGGGCCGUUGGAUCAAACCGACAUUGAUUGAAUGGUUAUCCUUGAUCCUUUAGGUCGGUGGAACGUGAUCCGCGAGUUUGGACGUGAUUGGGCAGAACUCUUGGGCGGCCGCCCUGCCCCCGAGCCGAUCGCCUUCUCGUUCAUUCCCGUGGCUUCUGGAGUCUUCUAGAUGGUAGAAAAUUGCACGGUGCAUUAAUAUCUCUAUGUAAUCCCGACAUGUGGGCAUUUCUUCCCUAUUUCCUGAUAACCCCCUGUAGAAACAGAUAAACAACAAAACUCGUAUAAUUCUGUCAGAUCAAACCCUAAUUCUAGGUCUUGUUUGUGUAUUGAUCCUUUCUCUUUUUUAUUUGUUAGUUAAAAUUGAUACUUAAGAACCGUCAACAAGUACUAAGACAAAAUCAGCUUCCAAACUUCUAUUCUUGGUGUUGGGUAUUCUUAACGUCAUUACCAAAAGUGGACUUAGUUUUCUAAUUCUGAUAACGGCGCCAAAAAUGCCAAACCUAUCCCUCAUACCACUUAAGCCAAGUUGUCAUUCCCAGCAUGAUAUGAGAGACGCGGUAUGAAAUAUGCAAUUGCUCAUCUAAAAAAAUAAUAAAUGGGAUCUGCAAGCGCACAGAUUAAUACUGAUGUAGCAUUUUAACCGAAAAGUAUUCCAGGUAUCGUUAUUUAUAUUUUUACCACUGGGAAGGGAUUAGCAAUCAUCAAUGUUGAUUAUAGAAUGGAAUAUAAGAUUGAGUAUCUAUCAUUGCAUAUAUAAUUGAGAACAAUUAUCUAUCUCUUUCAUGCAGGGAUAAGUGUCACAUAAAGGAUAUAUAAAGUAAUGAAUAGUGAUAAAGAUAAUUAAUCUAAUCAGUAUAACUUAGCCACAUAUAAAUAUGAUAAGCACCUCAAAUAGAUAUUCUAGCAAGUCAUUAGCAUGGAAUUAGGAUGAACUACAAGAAUAUUUCCUAAGUUAUUCUCAACUAUACAGUCUAGCAUAUCAUAGUUAGUGCAAUUAUACUUAGCAAUCAUUGCGAGACAGGACUACGCCCAUGCAUAGUGAUAUUAUCAAGGAAUAUGACAAACAUCGCAAUCUCUCCCCUGUAAUAAUGUUGCUCUGCCAGCCCAAUACACGAGAGGGGGACUAUAUAAGAAUCAAUGGAGUUGUCACUACCACGAACUACCCUGUGAUCUGGCAUAUAGGGUACAAUCGCAGAUAAAUACGGUAUAAACACCACGCCUACACAAUAUCUAUCAUUUACCCAUGGAUCCGAUGGAUAAACGCUAUACGAUCCUAAACAUGUAUAUAAAUCCAAUCUAACUAAGCAAAGUAUAUAACUAUGAUAAACUAAGAACAAUAUAAUUGCGAAUAUAAAUAAGUAGAGCAAAGUCAUAACCAAUAUAUUGAAGUAGAACAAAGUCAUAUUCAUAAUAUUGAAGAACAAAGAUGAACAAUUGAAGAACAAUAGAGGAUUACCAAGAAUCUUCUUGACAGAUCCGGAAACCUAUCAAAGAUUGACUCCUUCUAGUUCUAAUCAUAUGUAGCUAUGCUAAUCUAGAUAUCUAAUUGAUGUGGUGGCUCUAGGCUUGAUCAGAGGCUUCUUAUCCCUUGAUGAAUAAUGAAUUAGGGUUGAGAGGUCCUCUCCUCCAGGGGCCAGGGGGUCUGGUUUUAUAGUCCUUCCAAGUGAAUAUGGGCCGUCGGAUCAAACCGACAUUGAUUGAACGGUUAUCCUUGAUCCUUUAGGUCGGUGGAGCGUAAUCCCGAAAGAGAGUCCUGAUUGGACUCCAGAGGGGGGUGGGCGCCCUGGUCCCUAGGGCGGGCGCCCUGGGCCAGGCUCCGUUCUGCCUCCGCUUUGUUCCCAUGGCUUCUGGAGUCUUCUAGAUGUAAGAUAAUUGCGCGGCACGUUAAUAUCUCUAUGUAAUCCCGACAUUUGGGCUUUUCUUCCGUAUUUCCUGAUAACCCCCUGUAGAAAUAGACAAACACCAAAACUCGUGGAAUUCUGUCAGAUAAAACCCUGAGUCUGGAUGUUGGUUGCAUUUGGAUCCCUUUCUUUGUUUAUUUGAUAAUUAAAUUUGAUACUUAAGGACCGUCAACAAACUCCCCCAAGCUUGCCUCAUGCUCAUCCUUGAGCAAGGAUAGUCUCAGCGAUGGAUCAGAAGUUGUUGUAAUGCCUUUAAAAAUUGACGGUACACAUGCUUUUAAAUAAGAUCUCAUCUCUAAGUUAGAGUAUACUGUCAAGACUUAAAACUUAUUCAUUUUACCUUUCACCAUGGGACUUGUAACCGUCACUUCUGUCUUGAGUAGCUAAAAGAUAGAACAGUCUAGUCAAGUGCCAUGUCUCUUAUUCUUGAUCAGCUAUAGCUCUAGAGUUUUUGCAGGUUUUCAAAUAAAACUCAGAGAUUCCUUGUAUGACUCUCUCAGAUCUCGCUUUUGUGGUAUUUCUGGAUCCUUACCAAGGCAGUGAUGGUAUACGCCUUCUCUCAAAAUAUGUAGUAUUUGUGGUAUAAGGCAUAGUGAUAUUGCCUUCUCUCUCACCCUACUCUAAUAAGGCUUUAAUAUCUGGAGCUCAUAGGUGGGAGAUAAAGUAUAGAUACUAACAAGACAUUUAUUGCAUAGUCAAACCAUGGAUCCAAAGAAACAAGCCAAUAAGUCAAAUUAAGAUGUGCAUGUUUGGCAAAUGAAUGGUGUAUGGUGAUGAUGGUGGUAACAAUGGUGAAACCCUAAUUCUACUUUUGCUAUUUUGAGGGGAUACAUACCUUUCUUGCUCUUUGAAACUUUUGGAGGUUGAGAUGCUCUAUAUUUUCUUUUUCUUUCCACUCAGGUGGGUAUUUUGUACCCCUAAUUCUAAUAUCGGACACUUAUCCAUUUUUACCUCUCGUCUCACUUUUUCUCUUCUUUCGAGGUUCCGGGCACUUGCCCCUUUUUAUUUUCUCGUAUCUUUUUUUUCUUUUCUCUCUUUUUUUAGAGCACUCAUCUCCUGAAAUAAUAUAGCAAGUGGUAGUAACCAAGAUAACUUGAGCAUUUAUUUCACAGGGAAAAAACAAAAAUAUUUUUUUGGCUAUUCUCUCCUGGAUUAGGAGUAGAAUAUUUUUGGGUGGUUCUAGGGAUGGAAAUGGAUGGAUAUAUGUGGAUGGUACUUUCGGAGUAGAAGUAGCAUAUGUGAGUGAACGUGCAAGUAAAUCUUGAUUUAACCACAUGACAAGCUCCUAAGGGUCUACACAGCUGGACCACACUCAAUGCUCAUAAGCAGUAAAGUAAAUGUGUAGCUCAAAGUCUAGCAAACAUGUAUAUAUGGCUGUGGUAGGAAUUUAAACUCUCAUCAUACAGGAACUCAUCAUGCAAUAUUUUAAAGGUUUUAAAAGAUAAAAUUCUCCAGAAUUCUAGCAUCUCUAGGAAUAGAUAAACAGCAGCUCAACCUUCCCAUAUCAUAUCUGUUAACAACUUAGACUUUAGAUCGAGUUUUCUUCCCACAAGUUUAGGUUUAGAGCAAGCUUUAAGUUAUAACAGUUAUGUCUAAACUUGAGAGAGAACUUCAAAAUUUUAAAAUUAGGCAGAGCAACUAUUCAUCAUAUCCAUGCUAGAGUUUCAUUAUUAAGAUUCAGUUUAGCAUAGCUAAUUUAUUUAUUUAUUAAACACACUAAGCAAAAGAUAUAUAUAAGCAUAAAAUAUUUAUUUGGUUUUUCAUAGUUAUGUAUAUUUAUAUUUUAAUAUAGUAUAAGUAUAAAGAUAGAUAGAAAUACUUAGCGGGAUAAAUGGGGGUGCUCUCCCCCGAGCUGAAUUUUGACGUAAUUUCUUCUGAUGUAGCUAGCAGGUGGCCGAGGUGUAUUUGAAAGUCGGCAGUACCCUGACAGCGAUUAGAAUGUCCUCCGUCUGUUAGUCUUCUUGAUCCUGAAACUCUGUGGAGCUCAAAUAGACAACAAAGCUUUGUGGAACUGAUUAGGUGUUAGCAUAAAUAUCUAGCCUUUAUCAUGUCGAGCCUCCUCAAUAAAUAUUACUCUUUAUUUUUGUAUUUUCAUUUUUAUAGAGCAGAAAAAUAUUUAUUUUAUUUUUAUGCCACCACAGUGAAUGUACUUAUGGGUUUUAUGCCACUCGUAUACUCACAUGGGGCUUACUGUUUUUUUACAUUUUUAUUUUCUUUUUUUAGGAUGGUAUGAACAUAAUUAACUAAGUAAACUAUUUUAAAUAAUCGAAAGGGGAAGGAUAACUACCAAGUUUAUCUCUUGGCAAGGCGUUCGGAGUUUUUAAGUCCUCCGAACGGGACUCUCCGUUUUCUUAGUUGUCCUGGGAUUCGUUGGAUGGCGGAGUCGGUGCUUCCGGCGGCGCCUCUUCUUCAUGUAUAGUUAUCUUCUCUCUCCACACCUGACUUGGCGCUACGGUCUCCUCUGGAUAAUUCUGUUCAAGCUGUAUGUCUUCUGAUCUUAUAACUUUUCCUUCGUAGUCUGCCCAUCUGUCCUUGAUGAUUUGCCUCCUCUGGUUGCGGUUGCGUCGUUUUCUUCUUGUCCUGACCUGCUUAGAGUCUUCAACGAUAUAGUUAGGGUCUGUAAAAUAGCGGCAUACCUUCUCUGAGGGGAAGUGCAUAUGGACUUCUCCAGUUCCAAUGUAGAUAAUUGCUAUAACGGUGCUGAGGAACGGUCUUCCAAGGAUGAUGGGUGGAUCGUAUUCGUCUUCUCCCAUGUCAAUAACCUAAAAGUCUGUGUAGACAAAAUGAUCGUCUAUUUUGACAGGGACAUGAGUUACUAUUCCUUCAACCUCUCGAAAUGUCUGAUCUGCCAUCUAGAGUUGAAUGUAUGUUGGGUUUAAGGGCAUGGUUCCGAACAAGAGUCGAUAGGUGACUGCGGCCAUUAUGUUGACGCCCGAUUCGGUGUCGCAAGUCGUAUUGUAGAAGUUGUAUCCAUUUAUGGAGCAAUAGAUGCUUGGCAUUCCUGGGUCGUCCUUCUUGGUCAGAAACGGUGACUUAAGUCAGUGAUCUUGUCUUUCAUGAACUGCAGUGACCAUCUUAGCUGACUCGGUCCACACUUGCUUGUUCCUGUUCCUCCUGUUGGUCCUCUUCCUUGGUUCAUGUCUGGAUUGCUCUAGGAUUUAUGUAGUCUUGUUCCUGAAGGAAAAUGUCUCCUUCCUCCCUUUGAUGUAGAAACUGAUCUUGGAAGCACUAGCAUAGAUGACAGCUCCCGAGGUGUUUAAGAAUGGCCUCUCUAAGAUGAUGAUUGCUCUCUCAUCAUUACCGGCCUCUAUCACAACGAAGUCUCCUGGGGCGUACAAGGUACCAACUCAGACAUAGAGGUUCUUCAAUAUUCCCUUUGGAAAACUUAUCGUCUGAUCUGCAAACUGCAAACACAUGGUUGUUUCUAAUAAAGGAUAUGUAAAGAAUUUUUCAUAGAGUACCCUGGGCAUCAUGUUGACACUAGAGCCACAGUCGUAGAGUGCUUCUGGGAGGUCCACCAUGCCGAUGGAGAUCGGGAUGACGGGGCGUCCUGGAUCGCCUCUCUUGACCGGCAGAAGGUCAGUAGUAACUUCAGUGACGGGGUUACUCCAGUAGUUACCUGCGUCAAACAUGUCUACAAGAUUUGCAGAUUCUAAUCCUUCCGGUUGUGAUGGUAUACCGGGGUUAGUAGCAGGAACAGCAACAUCUAUUUGAUUUAACUGAGAUUCAAUCAUUUUUAUUAAAGCUAAUUUGAUUCUUGAUGGCAGUAGAGAAAUUAUCCAUUCUAUUAUUUAUAUUUUCUAGCAUUUUAUCAUUAGAUGCCAAUUUCUUAGAUAGGUUAUCCAUUAGCUUUCCUUGAUUAGACACUAACUCUCUCAGAGGUGGAAAAUUAUUAUUAUUGUAAGAAUUGUUACCUUGAUAAUUACCUGAGUAGUUAGGCCUCUAUUGAUUCCAACCUUGAUUUUGUUGAGGACGGUUGUAGUAGUUGUUGUUGUUAUUGUUGAUGUAGUUCACAUCCUCAAGCAUCUUAGGGCAGUGAUUGCCUGAGUGUCCAGUAUCUCCACACUCCUCACAAGUCAUGUUAGAGUCGUAGAUGUGCAUAACUUCUUUCUUAUCUCCAGCUCUAUCAUGGAGCUUCUUCAUGAGCAGGUCAAACUUUGCAGACAGCAUGUCUACCUCCUUGAGCUGAUGCAUACCUCCACCUUUCUUGCGUGUCUGGGUCCUUGUUGACGGUCCUUAAGUACAAAAUAUAAUCAUCAAAUAAAUAAAUAAAAGGAUCCAAAUGCAACCAACAACCAGACUUAGGUUUUUAUCUGACAGAAUUCCACGAGUUUUGGUGUUUGUCUAUUUCUACAGGGGGUUAUCAGGAAAUAUGGAGGAAAGACCCACAUGUCGGGUUUACAUAGAGAUAUUAACGUGCCGCGCAAUUUUCUAUCAUCUAGAAGACUCCAGAAGCCACGGGAACGAACGGGAAGGCAAUCGGUCCCGGGGGCAGGGCGCCCGCCCUAGUCCUUAGGGCGCCCGCCCUCCUAUUCUGCCCAAUCAGGGUACAACUCGGGGAUUAUGCUCCACCGACCUAAAGGAUCAAGAAUAACCGUUCAAUCAAUGUCGGUUUGAUCCGACGGCCAGAUUCACUUGAGGGGACUAUAUAAGCAGACCCCCAGGCCCCUGGAGGAGGCACUCCAUGAUCCCUAUUCAUUAUUCAUAGACAGAGCAAAAGCAAGGGUUUGGAGAUGAGAGCUCUCCUCUCAUCUCUAAACUAGAGUAGAUCUAGAUAGUAGCGAGAUGGAGAGCGAGGGAGGAUUGGAGGAGAGGCCGGCCUGUUGGUUCUUCCUCCGGUUGUAUUUCGCCAUGAUCAAGCUAUAAUCAAGCUUGCUCAUAGGAUGACUCUGGUAAUCUACUUCUAAUUCAUUAUGCAAUUACUAAUCAUGUAUGUUCUGGUUCACAACUCUUUUGAGUACUUCUAAUCUAUAGGACCCUAUAGGUUAGAGUUGUAGUAUAGGUGUAAGCGUGGUGCUUAGACCUAGAUUACUUGUGGAUAUCCCCUGUUUAGCUGGAUCGUGUGGUAGGCCGCGUAGGUGACAGUUACGUUGGUCCCCUGUAGUCCACCUCCUGUUAGAAGGACGAGUAGGGUUUAUCGGCCUAUGGAUAAGCAUCCUUUGUGGUGUAUUCUUAUCACGUGGUUCGUCCCAGACAUAGACAUACCCCUUUGAAGUAGAGAAACCAUAGUUAUCCUCUCUAUUCUGCUACCAUCGACCAUAUACUAGAUUGCUCUACUCUCUAUUCCCAUAUUAUCACCCAUUGUUAUCUUACCUUUAAUAUUGUUCUUAUUCAAUUCUACCAUCUUUCUUAUUUACACUUAUCUAUCUAUCUUGGUUAAGUUAGAGCGUAGUUGAUUCCCCCGUUUCCCUGUGGAUACAAUAAACCUUUAACCGGGUAAAAGCUACAACGGUAUGCGUACGCUUGCGGAUUUAUCUGUGUGCGUAUAAAUACCAUAGUAUACUCUUGUGCCAUGCUGGGGAUGACAACCUAGUAUUCAAGUGGUGUUAGCAAGUGUCAACAAGCAUUUUUGGCGCCGUUGCCGGGGAAACGAUUGCUGAGUUGACUACGAACUAGCUUUAUCAUUUUUCUAAAAAAAAUAUAUAAUUAAAAAAAUUCCUUUUAUCCUUUGCCUCAACUCUGCUAAUCUUUCUUCUUAUCUAAUCCUUGAUCUCUGGUCUAUCAUGAAUUCAACCAUGUCUAUCUAUCAGUUUCAUAGACCUACGGGCACACAUCUCGAACCCCCCAAAAUCUUCAAAGCCUAUCAUAGCAUCUAGUUUUGAGAUAGACCCCGAAUACAUAGAAUUUGUUCAAAAACAACCUUUCUCAGGAGAAAGUGAGGAAAACCCAUACACCCACCUAAGAGAGUUUUAUCGAGUCUGUGACCUCCUUCGCAUAGAAGGCAUGUCCGAUGAGACCCUUAAAUGGAAGCUCUUUCCGUUCACUUUAAUAGGAAAAGCUAGACAUUGGUAUAAACUCAAAGUAGGGAGUGUUCAUGGAGAUUGGAAGGAGUUACAUAAUAGUUUUCUUUUAAAAUAUUUUCCAAUCUCUAAAGUGGCGGAACUUCGGCGUGAGAUUAUUUCUUCACUACAAGAAAUACAUGGCUUUUUAACGUUUUUAGUGUGACAAUUAUAAGAACGUUACUAUAUCAUCCAUUUUGUGACAUUAUAUUUUAGGCAUAGUGACUUAGUGACAACUAAAAGUUGUAUGUCACAAUAAAUGUCAUUUAACAAGUCUGAUUUCAUCUAGUGACAAUAUUUUCUAUGUCACAAGGUCUAUUUGUGUGUCACAAAUUAUUUCAUUAAUUUUUUUAAAAAUACUAUCAGCAAUUUCAUCAAAGUUUGGGUAAAUCUAAUUCAUAUAAUCUCGUUAAAGUUUGGGUAAAUCUAAAAAAAUUCGACGCAAAAGAGUUUUGAACCUAGGAUGUCAAAACUGCCACACUAAGGUGCUUAACUAGUUGGACUACGAUUUGUAAGUAUUUUUUAUUUCAUUUUUAGUUUUUUUUACCUCUGAAUGCAGGAUGUAGGAGAAAAACAAAAGACACAUAGAAAGCAUAAAAUUAAGGUGUACACUUGAUUCGAACCUUGGACCUGUUGCUCCAAAUCAGAACAGCCUAACCACUUUGAUGGUUUUAAUCUGGUGCAAGAUGAAACAUUUUUAACUCCUUUCUCUCUGCAGACUCGACGUAGGAAUAGAACUAUCAAAAUCAGCCAGUGUCAUCCCCCAAACCCUAACUCAACCGCAUAGAGUCUCCACCCCCAUCAGCCGCCACCGUCUCAUCUCGCUCUCACACCUCACGGACAGCACCCAGCCUCGCUCUCCUCUCGGACCCUCUUCAGCACCGUCGCAAGCUCACGGGGGCACCACCCCUGCCGCAGCCGCCGUCAUCGCCGCCGCGGCUGCCGUUCCUGCCUCGGCGAACUGAGGCGUGCACCCCGCCGCCGCCGGCGCGAGCCACGCCCCCACGUCGUCCUCAGCUUGGCACCUCCAUCCCAGUGGCGACCUGGGCUUGGUUCUCCCCGCCGGCGAGCUCUGACGAUGCCGGUGACCUCAGCUCGCCCCUUCCUCUGCCUCCUGUAAGUGACCUAGGCCCCUUCCUGGACAGCGCCCCCACUUCCUCCGAGUUUCUCCUCUCCUUCCCGUACGGUGCCAAUCCUCUCUGGUUCCUCUAUUUUACUAACAAAAUCACGGAUCUGUACAUUUUAUUAACUGAAUCACGGAUCUGUAAUUUGCUCUAGUGGAACAGCAGGUUGUCUGAGGUGUACAAGAAGAAGGUGCUCCUUGGACUCUGCCCUGAUAAAAGCUGCACCAUCUACAGAUUUUUGCCUAGCUGCUGGUUCUCUAUUCAUUCCCCAUUCUGCCGUGUCGAAUGCUACUCCAUUCAGGGCAGCAAGGUAUGACAUUUUUGUUGACUUACUAGAGGUGGACCAUUUUGUAAACAGUAGAAGAAAACUAUGAGACAGACUGUGGAACCGAAUAUCUCUAGUCUAGCAUUUUGGCCAAAAUUGUGUAUUUCAACUUAGCUUCUGUUAGCCAUGAAUUGUGUGUAAAAUGGCAUGACCUGUUGAUAGAUUGUGUGAAAAAUUAUUUCAUUGUGCACAGAGGGAAUUGAAUAUUUUAGUCUGCAGAAAUAUUUUUGACUGACAAGCUUGCUGUUUUUCUUCUUGCUUUGAACAGGACCUCCGGAUAGGUAUUAGUGGAUUUAGGAUUUAUACCCACAUAAAAUAACUUCUUUGAUGCUUAUAUCGGUCUACUCUUUGACAGACCGUCCGCUUUACUUUCUUGUGUUCUACAUUACCAUUAAUUUUUUUUUGUUUGACUAGAAAUUAAGCUUCUUCUAAUGCCUGAAGAAAAGACUAUAUUGGAUCAGCACAAGACCCCUGACGUACUAGAAUAUCAUCAGUUAUGGUCUUCCAGGUUGUCUGUAUAAGGAUAUGCAAUGUUUUUGUUUUAGCUGAUUUUAAUUUCAAUCACUAUGCCAAUGCACACUCUGAUGUCAUGCUUUUACUUACUGGUGGAUGGGAUGCUUCUGGAACGGUAGAGUCCUCUACUUUUGCUUAGUUGAAUUUGAGACCUAUCUUUUUUUGUGCAAAAAUGCAAAUAUGCUUGAGCUUGGGACAUAUAUUGGAUAAGAGAUUACUAAAUUGAAUUAGAAAAGUUUUCUAAUGAACAGAAAUGCAAAUAUCCUCUAAAUACCUUAACCUCUAAUUUUUCUGUAAUCUAAAAUAUAUACAUUUUUUUGGUACCAACAAAAUAUGUAUACUUUGGUUCUUUCAUUUGUAUUACCAGAUAUCACAGCAAGAGAUGCAACAAGGAUGAUGAGUUAUUUGCUUAUGUUAAUUAAUUUCUGGGUAACCGUUCUCAUCCCUUAUUUCUGUGUGUUUUCAAAUGGUUUAUGUGUUGUUUUUUUAUUUUCAGAUGGUAUACUGUAUCUAAACUCAUUUUAUUGAAGACGACCUUUUUUCCUUUUGCAGAACCUUAAGGCCUUUGCUUCAGCGGACUUCGACAAGGAACUUGGAGGGCAGUUUUUGUUUUCAGAUCAUGACAACAUGUAAGUGGCAUCUAUGUCUUUCAUUUGCUGUUAUUUCGUAGCAUUUAACUUUUUAGUUUUGAAUGAUGGCCUUAGAAUAAUUUCGAUGUGUUCUGUAAGCAAUUGUGGCAUGUUGUGUACACUACAUGUUAAUAUUUGUGAUUGUAUAUUAUGAAAACAUUAUAUGAAUUUACCUGAUAUAGUUUUUAUAUGAAUUUUAAAGUAUGACACCAUUCUUCACAAAAUAAUUACUAUAACUUAGUGCAGGUCCUAAUCAAAGUUGUUGAAAAUAUUCAGAAGGGCAUAUAAGGUGCUUAAUGUAGAAAUCAGUUGCAUUUGGCUGCGUGUGUGGGGUGCAGAUUGGUGGUAGUGGUACUAUUCCUUUUGUUUGUGCUGAUUCGGAGACCUACAUACAUCUCAUUCUAAUUUCACAAUAGAUUAGAGAGUGUUACAAACUCAAAGCUUUGUGCGUUUUCUUCGUUUAAAGAAAGACAAGGAGCCCUUCUUGUGACCCAAGCAAAAUCUUAUAAAAUCUUAGAAAAUAAGAAGUACAAUCACGUAUACUGUUACGUGCAAAUUUAAAGAAAGACAAGUUCUUCUUGUGACCCAAGCAAAAUCUUAUAAAAUCUUAGAAAAUAAGAAGUCACACAAUCACGUAUACUGUUAUGUGCUAAUAUUUAAUCUUGAAUAUACAAAGGAAUGGAAUGAAGAUAUCAUUUGUCUUGUUACUAUGAAUGACCUCACCCAUGAACCGUUAACCAAAAUCCAUAUACAGUUGUUUUAUAGCACUAGAUUCAUUAAAUUUUUUGAACCAUUGCAUUAUCCUUUCAGAAUGUUAUGAGUGUGAGUACGUUUCUUGGCGAUUGGAAAUCACUACAUACGUAAGUAACUUAGCAAAACUUACCGUUUCUUAGAAUUAGAGGUUAGAUAAAAGUAAAGUCCAAUCAUGACCUUUGUUAUUAUUUCUUUUCUAGAAGCAUAUAUGUCAUUGCCAAAAUAUAAAUGGUUAGAUUUAUCCAAAGUUACCUCUGUAGUGUUUAUGAAAGGUGCAUGAACAUAGUAGUAAAGGAGAAUUAUGAUCUGUAAUGGGAUGGUGAGAGUAGUAUGGUUGAGUAAUUGAGUUGUUAAAUCUGUGCUUUUAUUGACUAGUUAGUAUCUUUUUAUAUUUACCAGCUGCUAUGUGUUACCAUACAACCUUAGGAUUAAGUGAAAUCAAGUUGGUGUGCUCUAUGUCAAAUUAGGAUGAAAUUUCAAAUAUUGCUAUGAUGGUGCUACUUUGUCAUGGUCAUUGGUUCUCGACUUGGAUUGUGACAUUCACCAUUUGAUUCUGCUAAAGUAGCUUCUGCCUGUGGAGAAUCUGCUUCUAAGUUUUCAAGGUUUUUUUACUUCUGGCACCUUUCCAUGUAACUUUGUUUAGACUGCAUUAGUGAUAAAUGGAACCUUUGGUUUUCAGGUCAGAAUGAGCUUAGAUGUACACUGGUGCAGGCAAGAGGAUCAAAGUACUCAUGGUGGCUAUUUUAGAAAGUUUUUGUUAUGCAAGCAAAUCAUAUGAGUUGUAUUGUGCGAGCUACCCUCUUAGUUUUGUAGCUACUUACAUGUAGCUUGCUUAUUGCUUUUGUAUUUCCUAUAAAAAAUUGUACAAGUACAAAUGUUGAUGGUUUCAAUGAAAAGAUGACCAAUAUUUUUGUCAAUUCUGAGCUUUCUUUCAAUUUAUGUGUAUUUCAUGAGCGUGCCACAAACAUAUGCGCAUGAAUAAUGGGCCAUAAAUAGGCUACUGACGUGUACUAGAAUUAUGAUGGUUGUGACAUUUUUUGUAGUGUUUGUGACAUUUUUUUCCCUGCCAUGUCAGCUGCCACGUGGCAAGGCCUAUGAUUUUGUGACAAUAAACCAAUGUCAUAUGCUUGUGACAUGAACCAAACAAAUGUCACAUAAUCAGUUUAUGACGCGGGCUUUUCCACGUUUUGGUUUUUUUCAACUUGAUGUCACAAAUCUUAAUUUGUAACAUAAAUUCCAUAUAUUGUGACGUAACUAAACGUUAAAAAGCCAUGUGUUUCUUCUAGUGCUUUUAGACAACUGAAAGAAGAAUCUCUUGGCAAAUCAUCGGACCGCUUUAUUAACCUUACUCUCACUGGCCCAAAUCUUUCUAUUCCACAAGAAGUUCUUCUAAUUCACUUUUUUGAGGGCCUUAGUAGGAAAAAUAAGCAAACCCUUCAUACAGCUUCCGGAGGAUCUUUCCACCACCUAUCCGCUAGUGAUGCUUGGAAUUUGAUUGAUUUAAUGAGCAGAAAGUCUCCUAGCUUUUAUAUCCAUGAGAAAGAGAAAGAACUAGUUCCUAGACAAGAAGAAGUUUCGAUAGCCAGAUCACAACCACUUCAAUUCCAAACUUUAGUUCUCCAAGGGAGGAAGGAAUUCCGACCUUAAAUCUUUCAGAUACUGAUGGUUUAGACAUCUGGUUCCAUAAGAGACCUUCAAGUAGGGAUAAUUCAAAUCCUUGCAAUAAUGUUUCUCUUAGAGAAUGUCCUGGUUCCUUUUAUUAACAAGUCGAGGAUGACAUAUCAAGUGAAGGAGAGCUAAGCCAUAUAGAAAAUUCUAUCAGCUCCCCUUUCCUGAUCACAAGUUCUAAAUGGCUAGAAUGUGUCGAAUGGAUGGAUAAGGAAGAAGCCUUAAUGGAUUCUGACUUUGGCUCAAUUUCAAAUGGUGAGUUCUUGACUCCCUUUGAAAAUGGGAUUCAUCCAACUAUAGAAGAGGACAUAAGUGAGACCAAUCCAGGAGAAACUCUGAACAUUCAGAUUGGAGACGAAGAUAACAUUAAAGAGCAUGGAAUUUAUUUCAUAGCCACUUCGUUUACUCCAUGCUCAUAUGCAACAUCUUCCCAAUCUAUUGGUCUCUCCGACGUCACCACACUUGAGAUCUCCAACCCCCUCUUCCUUUCUAUUUAUAAAAACUUUAAAAGGGCGGUUGUCGAUGCAUAUGUCUAUAAUAAAUAUUGCAGAUCUCGUUGAGUUGAUCUUGAUAUAGGUCAGUGUAGGAAGGGAAACCACUUCGCCGAUAUAAAUUGAUGGUUUCCCAAGGACAAGCUUAGUGUCUUGAAAUAAGCACUGAUCAGAUUGUAACAUGAGCUUUUAAUUAUUUGCAACAUUACCUUGUGUAUUGAGCAUAUAAAGAUAAUUGUAAAAAUAUUCCUUCAGGUAUUCUUGUCACUAACCUUUCCAGAAUUGGAGCAAGAAGAUUAGAUGAAUGACAAGCACAAGGUAUGUCCAACCAAUCAUCAUACAACAUUGAAUUAAAUCCAAACUUGAAAUUUUGCAAAAUUCAAGCUUGGGUGAUACUUUACAUAAAAACAUCUUUUGCCAUGUUGCUAUGUUGGUUGUCCCUACCUUUGAGACAUGCUCAAUUUGUUAAAUACUAAUCACACUACUUCAUCUCCACUUGAGUAGAUCUCUAUAAUUGCCAUCACGCUACCUUUGUUUAUCCUAGUAAGUGUUAGUUUGGAAGUACUGCACAUACUUCUAUUGGCUUUUAAAUUAAGCAUGGUGCUUAGGUUAAACAGCCUUCCAUAAUCUAAUUAGACAUGGAGUCUAGUUCGGUUAUUGAACUAAAAACUGCUUGUGUAGACAUUCACUACACCACAACACCACAUCGCCGUCAGACAUCUAACGCUAAAACUUUUUUUUAUUGUUGGAUGAUCUGACGCUAAAGAUGAUCAAGAAACUAUCUAACGCUAAAUCCAUAUUUGGCGAUUGAAUGUCUGACGCUAUAUAUAUUCAUCUAUAACGUUGAACUGUCUGACGCUAAAACCAUAUACACCAUUAGUCUGUCUGACGCCAAAACAUAUGGGCCCCAACACACACUUUCUCGCGCCCUACCUUAUUCAGCUCCCGCGCUAAUUUUGGUCUGGCGGCACACAAGUUAGAAACCCUAGGCCCUUCUGCCCCCAAAUCCCAAAUCACUCGCCGCUGCCCCAUCCUCAUCCCUUCCGACCGCGCCGUCGCCCUCCCUUGCGAGCCCAAUGCCGUCGCCCUCCCUCCCUGCCUCACUCGUACCCCAAAGUCUCCCAGCGCCGUCGCACUCACCUUCGCAAACCCAGAGUCGUCGCCCUCCUCACGAGCCCAGCACUAUCACCAUCGCGAACCCAGCGACGUCGACCUCCCUCGCGAACCCAGCGCUGACGCCCUCCCUCCCUGCCUCACUCGCACCCCCAAAUCUCCCGCCCUCCGUCGGAUCCCACCCCACCCAAGUCAUGCUCGCUGCUCUCUUGGAGCACGGACAGUGAAGGACGCCCUGGAGCAAGUGAUGGCGAUGGUGGAGGACGUGCUUCCUUGAGCACUCGACGGUGGAGGACGCGCCCCCUGAGCUCGCAACGGUGGAGGACGCAACUCCAAAUCUGACCGUGCCACUGCAUCGCUGCUUCUUUUCCUAGUAAGCAACCCAUUGGAUCGAUUGCCUUCACAAUGGAAUCCGUUCCAUAGAAUCUAUUUAGCUACCCUGAGAUCUGAAAAUGAGAUUUUUUAUUUUGCUGUCCAUCCUUCAGUUUGUGUCUGCAAAUAUAGCUAUAUAAUCUAUAACUAAAUUAGAGCAGCACCUUAGUCGGUGAUGUAGCCUGUGAUGCAGCCAACUAAAAAAUGCUUCCAUUCGGUAGUAUCUAUUUGGCUGGCUAUUCUGAACACUGCAUCAGUUUGUGUAUGUGAAUAUAGGUAUGAUCUAUGAACUGAAUUGGAACAACACUUUAGUCUAUGAUGCAGCGAACUAAAAGAAUGUGAUGUGAUGAAGCCACCCACCCGCUAAAAAAUCAAGUGGACCUUAGUUUGUGAUUUGGGAUGCAGCCAACUAAAAAUGCAAAUCCGUCGAAGUCGCAAGUCGCGGCAUUAUUCGCACAAAAAUCGCGCGCUUCGCGGCUGGUGGGAUUUGAACUCGUGAUCUCACUCUCACGCGUACCUUCCUCUACCACUACGCCUCACACUUACUUGUGUAUAUAAUGGAUCCAUACUUGAUUUAUAGUGCAAGUCCACAUUAUAUGUUUUGAGGAUUGAUGCUCUUGUCCAGGUUUUGAAUGGGGCUCAUGGAUUAAUGUUAACAUGUAACCAGCCAGUUCCCAUAUUUUGAUGUGAAUAUUUAUCCUUUCCUGUUGUAGUCAUUAAAUUCGCAGUGGUUGAAAUAACUCUGGGAAGCUCUUCAUAUUGUGUUUAAAUUUGCACUGAUUGGGAUUUCUUUUCCUAGCUUUAGCAUGUUUUUCUUUACUAAUACCAUUCCAAAAAUAAUCCAGGGUCUAUAUUUUAAGCCUGAAACUAUUCUUUCCAGUGUUACAAGCAAAAUAUAAUUUGAUUUAUUCUUUCCAAUUCAUUUCAGCUCAUUGGUGAAAGUACUGUACGGAGCUAGCGCACUAAACCCAACAAGUGCUCGACAUCGUCCUCUUCUCAGUGCUUGCAGCCAACAGCAUCUAGUACUGCAGGUACACGCCUCUGCCCUCACAAAGACUCAUGGAUAAAUCAUGGAUCAAUAGUGAUGCUAGAUACACAAAGUCAUACUUACAAGGGGUCAACAGUUUCCUAGCUUUUGCUUUUAGAAAUUCAGCGGUAGGGGACAAGAUACUAUGCCCUUGCAGAAAGUGUGUUAACUCGUUUUGGAGAGACUCGAGUGAUAUACUCGAGCACUUGAUAUGUGAUGGGUUUCUACAAGGGUACACAACUUGGAACUUACAUGGGGAAGCUAGUUCCUCUUAUGUGAAUACCGACAAUGGUGAUGAUGUUGAUCUUGUGGAAGAGUCUAGUGAAGAGGAUGGCAUCUCUGCAUUGCUUAGAGAUCUGGCUGGUGGUUUAGAUGAUAGAGGUGAUUUCGAGGACAAUAGUUCUGUUGAGCUUCCUAAAGAGCUAGUUAACCUCCAAAAGUUGGUGGAAGCCAAUAGUCAACAAUUAUUUCCUAUUUGCAACAAGUACACUAAACUGCGUUUCCUGAUUAGGCUACUUCACAUCAAGCUCCUUGGAGGAUGGACAGACAAAAGUUUUGACCUUAUACUAGAUCUAUUUAAUGAUGUCUUACCUGUGGGUUCAACACUACCCAAAAACUACUAUGAAACUAAGAAAUUGAUUAAUUCCAUUGGACUUGGGUACAUUAGUAUUCAUGCUUGUGAGAAUGAUUGCAUUCUAUACUGGAAGGAUCAUCAAAAAUCUGAAUCAUGCCCAAAGUGUAAGGUUUCACGUUGGAAAUCAGCUAGGAAGAGUCUAGAUGGGAAACAUGUGUACAAGGUUCCUAAGAAGGUUCCUCGAUACUUUCCGAUAAAGAAAAGGCUCUAGAGAUUGUUUCUAUGUUCUAAAACGGCAAGUCUAACAAGAUGGCAUGAUGAGGAGAGAACAAAAGAUGAUGUUCUUAGGCAUCCUGCAGAUUCUCCUCUUUGGAAAGACUUUGAUCUUAAACAUCCUGAGUUUGCUAAGGAUAGCAGAAAUAUACGUCUUGCAUUUGCAACUGAUGGUUUUAAUCCUUAUAGAACCCAAAGUAUUAGCUAUAGCAUUUGGCCUGGUAUAUGUAUUCCCUAUAAUUUUCCACCAUCAAUGUGCAUGAAACAAUCAAAUUUCAUACUCUCUUUGCUAAUUCCUGGAAAACAUGCUCCUGGUAGUGAUAUGGAUGUUUUUCUCCAGCCACUUGUUGAUGAUUUGUUAGAUAUGUUUGUCAAGGGGGUUAGAACUUAUGAUGCAUCGAAGGGCGAGUACUUCCAAUUAAGGGCAGCAGUGUUGUGGACUAUUACAGACUUCCUAGGUCUAGGCUAUGUAUCUGGAUGUGUCACCGCUGGUUUAGGGGCAUGUCCUGAUUGCCAUUCAUAUACUUGUUCACAUAGACUUGGUAAUGGCAGCAACUAUAUGGGCCAUCGUAGGUUUUUUGAUGAAAACCACCCAUUUAGGUUCGAUGUCAAUAAGUUUGGCUCAACUGAAUUUAGGCAGGCACCAAUUCCACUCUCUGGGGAGGAAGUGUUGGAGGGUACUAAAGAUAUUGUCACAGUUUUUGGUAAGGAUCCAUGUGGUAAGAAACCAGCAAGGAAGAAACACAUGGAAGGGGAGCCAUUAGUCAUUUUUAAAAGGAUGUCUAUUUGGUUUAAACUUCCCUAUUGGAAAGAUUUGAUGUUGCGGCAUAAUUUUGAUGUCAUGCACAUAGGGAAAAAUGUGUAUGAGAACAUUGUUAACACAUUCUUGGGUCAUAGGUUUUUGGAUGAAAACCACCCAUUUAGGUUCGAUGUCAAUAAGUUUGGCUCAACUGAAUUUAGGCAGGCACCAAUUCCACUCUCUGGGGAGGAAGUGUUGGAGGGUACUAAAGAUAUUGUCACAGUUUUUGGUAAGGAUCCAUGUGGUAAGAAACCAGCAAGGAAGAAACACAUGGAAGGGGAGCCAUUAGUCAUUUUUAAAAGGAGGUCUAUUUGGUUCAAACUUCCCUAUUGGAAAGAUUUGAUGUUGCGGCAUAAUUUUGAUGUCAUGCACAUAGGGAAAAAUGUGUAUGAGAACAUUGUUAACACAUUCUUGGGUACCGAUGGGAAAUCUAAGGAUAAUCUGAAUUCUCGCUUAGACCUUCAAGCUUUAGGUAUUAGAAGUGAUCUCCACCCUGUUGAUGUUGAAGACCAAUAUUAUUUACCACCUGCACCCUAUACAUUGAGCCCUGAUGAGAAGAAAUUCUUUUGUGAAGUACUGAAAGGGGUAAAGUUUCCUGCUGGUUAUGCAUCUGAUAUACGUCACAAUGUUCAUGUUAAUGAGAGAAAGGUGUUUGGGCUUAAGAGCCAUGAAUGUCACAUUGUUCUACAACACUUGCUACCACUUGCUGUUAGGAAAUUAUUGCCGGAACUAGUCAGUGCUGCAGUGAUACGUGUUAGUCAUUUCUUCAAGAAAAUUUGUACUCCUAUUUUCCGAAGCAGUGAUAUGGAUAGUCUACAGGCUGAAAUAGCUGAAACGUUAAGCCUUCUAGAGACUAUAUUCCUUCCCUCCUUUUUUGACAUGAUGGUACAUCUGAUGGUUCAUCUUCCUGCCCAAGCAAAACUGGCUGGUCCAGUCCAUUUCCGUAGCAUGUGGCCUGUUGAGAGGUAAUUUUUGUGAGUGUAAUCAGCGUACAUAUAAAAAUACAUACUAUUUUUACAACAUAAUGAGCCUAUUAUAUUUGUAUAGGUUUUUGAUGCGAUUGAAAGGGGAUCUUCGUACAAAAAGCCAUCCGGAGGGAUCAAUUAUGGAGGGUUCUAUGUUUUAUGAGAGCCUUACACUAUGUGGACACUAUUUACACACCCGAGCAAUUAGAAAUAUUGAAGGGCUGCAAACUGUAAAUUCCACAACCCCUUUCUUUGAUAGCAUUGGUCGGGGUUUAGUUGGGAAGUGCACAGUGAGUUUAGACCACAAGACUUGGCUGCAAGCACAUAGAUAUGUUUUGUUCAACUAUGAACAUAUAGGGCCUUACUUGGAGUAAGUAAUCCAUUUAACUUCACACCACAUGUUUAGAUUCUCUUGCAUGGUGACAUGAUAAAUUGAUCUUCGCAGAAAGUAUGCCCACCAUCUAUCCUCAACUAGUGUUCGAAACCAGCGAGCUAUCAAUCGAAUGCAGCAUGAAUGUUUCCAUGAGUGGUUUAGGUCGCAUGUAAGUAGGAAGAGAACUUAAUACCUGGUACCUAAGUUGAACUAUUUAUCUUAAUAAUAAUAUUUCUUACUAAUCAUAGGUGGAAGAAAUGUGUGAGGAAGUACCAGAUGAGGUACAAAUCUUAGCCAAGGCACCAAUCAUGAGUGCACAAAAAUACAGUAGCUACACAAUAAAUGGAUUUGAUUUUCACACUGAGUCCUAUGAUGUGGGUAGGUCUGUCCAAAAUUGUGGGGUUGCUCUGGUUGCAGAAUCCACAUGCUUUCAGAGGGGCGAUAAUGAUAAUGUCAUAAUAGGAGCCAAGACUUAUUAUGGCAUUAUAAAGGAGAUGGUUGAAUUGAACUAUAACCAGAGAGGAAAUAUUGUCCUUUUCAAGUGUGAUUGGGUUGACAACCGUGUGCGAGGCAAAUGGGUUCAAACUGAUCAGUUUGGGGUCACCACGGUCAACUUUAAACAUUUAUUCAAUACCGGUGAAAAAGUAUCAGAUGAGCCUUUCAUACUAGCAUCACAAGCAGUGCAAGUCUUCUAUGUUCCUGAACAUGCUGGUUCUGAGUGGGUUUCUGUUCAUCAUUCCAAGCCAAGAGACUUCUAUGAUAUGGAUAAUUUGGAGAGUGAGCACCUAGAUAAUGGCAAUGGACUAGUUUUGCCAUUGCCUGAUCUGAAUGCCAAGGUGACUGUAGAUGUUAUUAAUGGGGUUGUACCCGCUAUUAGGACAGACAUAGAUGGUAUAAUUGUUGAGCCUAAAAAGUAAGUGUUAUUUAUGCAACAUGUGAUUGCCUCAUUGAUUAUUUGAAAAUUUGUUCCCUUCAAUUUCUAUUAAAUCUGAUGCAAGUAAGAUUGCUAAAUACUUUGUACUUUUGUAGGAGAAAAAAUGUCAAGCGCAAGAGGAAGUAACCGAGAUGAUGUCAUGACUGAUUAUGAGAGGCAGAAAUGGGAACGAGUUGCAAGAAACAAUGAGAAGAUGGAAUCCCUUUGUCUUCACCAACUACGCACUGAACUCCAGCCUGCCCAACAAAAAAAGAGAGCAAAGGUUAGCCUUGUACAGUGCUGGGACAUUUCUAAACUAGUACACAUACUUAUGGGCUGCUUGGAGUUCCUUCAGAUUAUUUGCAUGCUUGUUCAUCCACUGCAAACUAGGAACUAAAUUUCUAAACUAAUACAAAUACUAAUUGACAUUUUCAUGUGCAUUUUGCUGUAGAGAACUCAAAACCCAAGUGAUGCAGCCAUAGAACAUUGUAAUUUGCGACCAAGACCACAAAGAAAUAAUGUUGAGACUGCAAAUGAGCAGAUUACUAAUGAUCCUGACUAUGAAUUAGUUGGAGACUUCUUACAUAACAAUCAAGGUAUCAUAUUUCUAAAAAAUUAUGAGAACAUUUGCUGCGAUUUCUUGCUACAAAUUCUGAGAACAUAUGCUGAAAAAAAUAUGUUCCUAAUCUGUACAGGUUUGCAUAGUGGAAAACAAAAGAGGAAUGGAAGAAAAAUCACUACAUUGAAUGACAUAUUCUCAAGGACAGCUGACAUGCCUAAAAUCAAAAUAACCGCCAAUGAACUUGGGCAGCCUACAGGAGACAAUUAUAGGAAAUUUGCUAGUGCUAUUGGUUGUCAGGUGAGAAAGAAAUUACCAGUUCGAUUCAAUGAUUGGAGGGCUGUUCCGCUGGAAAAGAAGCUUGAAGUUUGGACUGACUUGCAGGUAUAGCAUUGUCUGUCCUUGUCCAAGUUAUCCAAUUCAUAGCAGGUAGUAUAAUAUGUGCAUCAAUAGCAACUUAGUGCAAUCUGUACAUAAUCUUUUCCCAAUAAUUGGGUUUUUGUAGCAAACUAAUGCCCACAUACCAAUUAAUAGCAACUUAGUAUAAUGUGUACAUGAUCUGAUGUCUCUUUUUCAAUGGCAAAUUAGGCCUUCUAUGAUAUUGAUGAGAAUGUCAAGAAAUGGUUUAUGGAUACUGCUGCAAAGAAGUGGAAGGACUACAAGACAAACUUAAAAAAGAAGUUUUUUUAUGAAGCAUUAACAGAUGAACAGCUGAAGGAAAGACUUAAAAAUAAAUUAAAUGAUGAUGACAUCAAUGAUCUUAUUGAGUUUUGGAGGUCUCCUGAAUGUCAAGUAAGGAAUAGUUUAUAUGAAUCUCUCUUUUCCAUUACCGAUGAAUGUGAAAAUCUUAAUGAUUUCUACCAUAGGCUCGCAUUGAAAGAGGAAAAGCAAAUCGUGCAAUGUUGAGGGUUCAUCAUACAUCUGGAAGCGUCAGCUAUGCUUGUCGCAGUUAUAAUUUGGUACAGAAUUCUAUCAUGUUAAUCAUCCUAUGAAUUAUUUUGGGGGCACUUUCAUUGAUACAUAGUUAUAAACCUUGUAGGGUAAAGCACUUGGACGCCCCCCUCGAAGAGAUGAAGUGUACAUCAGUACACAUACAAAAAAAAUGGAGUUCCUUUAAGGGAGGCAGCAAGAAUAAUUGUAAGUUCACCUCCCCCCAACAAAAAAAAGGAAACUUAGAUCUGUUGUUUAGACUUUAGUGAUUCAUAUUUUGCAAGAUGAGCUUAAAUCCAUUGUUGAGACUCAACCAGAGUUGAAGGAUAGAACAAUUCAAGAAGGUGAUGCGUUUGCGGCUGUUGCUGGAGCAAAGGAGCCAAGAGGACGUGUUCGUGUUUUGGGUCUAGGACCAACUCCCCAAGAGAUUGGUACCCCAAGGCUCAAAGCACUCAUGUCAACAAGGAUGCAAAUGGAAAUCUUUUCUCGACAAAAAGCUGAUUGUCGGAACAGAACUCUUGAACAACGAAUUGUGGAAUUGGAAGAGGAAAGGAUAGCACAAAGGACCAAUGUUGAAGUCCUAUCACAACAUGGCUCUAAUUCACGACAGUACGCGGUAAAGAACUCAAGCUAGAUUAUCUCUUUACAUGUCUCAGUGUGCAAAUAAGUUUCUCUGGUAGCAGCCAAUGAAUAUUAUUGUUUUGAUUCUUGUGUAGAGUCCAACACCUGAAGGACCUAUUGAUGAGGCACAUAAUGCCCCUAGUCAUGAAGAUUAUGAUAAUUAUGUAGAGGAUGAAGAGUAUAAUCAGUAUAGAGAGGAGGAUGAUAACCUGCUCCCCAAUAGGCAUGCUGCACGCGAAGAGGAUGAUAACCUGCUCCCCAAUAGGCAUGCUGCACGCGAAGAGGAUGAGAACUUGCUCCCCCAUAGGCAUGCUGCAGCUCGACCAGCUAUGAACUUGACAAUAGGAACAGAUGUUCGCCCUUGCUUUGCAAAUGGCAAACGUGUAAUGUUACCAUGCAGCUGCAAUGUUUCUCUUUGUGAUUUCAAAAUAUGUUCCAUGCUAUAUAGUUCUCAUGAUUGCAUCAUUCAUUUCAGGAUGCAACGGAAGAGAGCUUGCUGCCCCCUAUGCCUCGAUCAACUGUUAACAUGAAUACACAUGUACUCUUGCAAUUCUACAGCAAUGUUUCUUUGUGAUUCUGAACAUAUUGCAUGAUUUGCAUCUCUCAUGAGUGUAUCUUUACUUCAUGCCGGAACUAAUGCGAGCUUGCUGCCCCAGAGACAUGAUGCAACCCAUUCACCUAUAAACAGGACAACUACACACACAAAUGAUGGUCCUCCUCGUUUUUCUCAUGAUGAGCUUGUAAUUUUCUUGUCUUCCUGCAUUAUUUUUUGGUUUCAUAUAACUUCCUUGCUUUAAAUAUCUUAUGGGUGUAUUAUUUAUUUCAGGUUGGAAAGGAUGUGAUACUAUUUGCUAUAUUCAGAUGCGAGUCAGCUGUGGCUAGGGUAACAGUUACUUCAACUAAUCCAAAGACCAUGGUAGGAGGUCAACCUGUUGGGAAUGAAUAUUGUGAAGUAGUUGUUAAUGUUGUGAUGAAAAGGGAUGCUAUACUGCCUCGGCCUUAUGGUGGGAUUGAGACUAUGGCUAGUGCUCUUAAGAUGACAAUUGCAUGGCCCUACAAUAAAGUAAUAAAUUAUACUUGACAUAAUUUUCAUUUUUCUUUGAUCUCUGAUGCAAGACCAAUGUUGCUAAUUAAACCUUUCUAUGAUAGAUCAAGGAAUGCAGGAAGAAGGCACCUGAACCUCCCAAGGGCACUACACGUAAGUCCCAACAUUUGUACAAACCUAGUGACAUCUGUCAGAGAUAAUUGAUAGAUACAACAAUGACUUGUAGCUGAAAUAGGAAACCUGCAGCAGGUGAAAUUAAAAUUACAACUAUAUUUUUUUCUCCUAAGUGGAAGCGAUAAUGGUGGCUUGUAUGCUGUUUUUUUCCAAACACUAAUAAUCGACUAAAUACAGAAGUCUAGAAUGUGCUAUCUGAUUAGGCAGAUCUGAUUAGAAAUUCAUACUAACGACAUGAAUUAGUGCAAAUAUCAUGCGUGCUAGCUUGGAAGGCAUGUCUAUGUCAAGCAUGCUUUGAUCAGUUUGAAAAACAUAAAAGUGUUGAACUGUAAGGACGAAGGUAGUAUGCUGAUACUCAUUCUAUUUAGUAUUCAAUUUGAGUCGAAUCGAAAAAAUCAAUUGUUGCUCGGAAUAUAUCUUUAAUCAAGCCUAAGAAGAGUUGCUCUGAUGUGAUAUUGCUGAUGGUUAAAACUUAACUGAAAGUUAAAUUGAUUAGAGGCAUUUGUUUCAGUUAGGCAGAAAUGAGGUCUACUGCUUUAGUACGUCAGUUCUACACAUAGCUUGUCUACACCUAGCUGAUUACAUGGUUGCUCCUCUAUAUUUCAGGAAGUGCUGGGCAGAUGCCUUUGUCUUGACUUUUUCGAAAAUGAUUCAUGUGCUAUAAUUUUGGUAAGUCAUUCCUUUUGUUUUUUCAGUUCCUAGAAAUGAUUUUGUGCUCAAACCUUAGGCUGUGAAACAAAAAGUACUAUUAUUGCUUGAUGAGAUCUGCACAAUUGAGGCAUAGGAAACCAUGUAACAUUCAGGUUGAGUUUCUAGAAAAAAAUUGCGUACACUUGACUGAUCUGUAUAAUGACUGAUCUGUAUAACAGCAAUAUAUGUGUAAACUUGACUGAUCUGUAUAAAAACUUCACACAAUUUCUCUACUUGCCUAAUUACAAGGUUGUGAUAAUUUUCAGGAAGUGUUGGGCACAAGUGUUUGCUUGAGUUUAUGGAAGGUGGCUGUACACAUAACCUGGUGGAUGUAAUAUGUGUUGGCAAGCCAUUGCUUUUGGCUUUUGAUUUCUUAGAAAUGAAUGUGUGCCCAAAUCUUUUGGUGCUUGCUUGGAGAAUUAAUAUUGCUUGCCGUGAGUACAUUCAUGUAACAAUUUGGUGCUUGACUUUGGAUGAUUCAAACACUGUGUAAGACAAUAUUAUAUGCUAUAUGUAUUGACCUUCACGAAUUCAUGUACAUGUUUAUGUAUCUUUAUGUGAUGUGAUGAGAUAUGAUACAUGUUAAAUGUAUUGUAAUUGUAUUUAUUUAUUUUUUUAGCACAUUUAUAUUGUCCUGUUGAACAGUCUGACGCUAUAAAUAGAUGUCAGGAGACCGUCUGACGGUAAAUAUGUUGUCUGACGCUAAAAGUUAACAACACUCUAUCUGACGCUAUAUAUAUUCAGGCCAAUGGACUGUCUGACGCUAUAAGUGCUGUCUGACGCUAAAGAUCUUUAGCAUCAGCACUUACAGCGUCUGCAGGAGUCUGACGCUAUAAGUUUUUUGCGUCGGAUCAUCUGACUCUGUAGCCGCUUUUAGCGUCAGAUUGUCUGGCGUGAAUCUCGGUGUUGUGGUGUAGUGAUUGGUAUAUUUUGUCGGACUAACCCCUGCAGAAAAAAAACUUUCAACAUCGAUUUGGGAAGUCCUGAGAUAAACUCACAUCGGAGAUGAAGAGAGACACACAUGAAGUUUAACAAUUUGCACAAGAAGGACAUAGCUCAUUUAUCAUAGAGAGAUGAUCAAUGGAAGGAGACAAAGUACAUAAACAAGAUACACAACCACUACGAAUGGGAAGCUUCCACAAGGUGAGAUGGUACCAUCACUCUUCAAUUAAGGUAACAUCUUAAGAUAUGUGGCUAUCACUUUUAUAAGCUUCUCCUUGGUUCUAGCGUUCACAUAAAUAAAGAGACAAACAUGUAUGAUUUAUAACUCUAAAUUAACGAACCCAACUGAUUCAGCAUGUUUAGUCCUUUAAUCCUUGUUCCUAGUACUACCUCCAUGAUCCCACACUCCUAAUCAUAUGAGCUAAAAUGUUACACAUUCAAUCUUUGAGAGAUAUAAAGAAAAAGACAUAUACAUAGAUAGAUUAUCUUUCCAUAAGGUUGAGCGAUCUGAUCUGACAAAUGUUAUAAGUACUACACUCAUGAACUUAUCAUCCAUCAACUUUGUCUUGCUCACUAUGCUUAAGGUUAGAGAAGAACAAAUACGCUUUUAGUUCUGUUGGUGUUUUCCACCAACAGGACCCAUGCACUUGAUCUGUGCCUUGUCUAUAUGAGCAGGUAAACUUGGAGCAAAACAUGGUGGAGUUUUAUAACUCUCAGACUCUACCAAGUAAAGGACCUGGAUCUACGAGCACAAACACACUGAGCAGGAUACUGCCAACGCCGCACUUCGAACUACUGGGCAAACGAAGAACAUGGGUGACACCAUAUCAAGAGGAGCAGACGUCAAGGUCCGCACCUGAAUCAAAUGACGCACCUGAAGAAUGAACACGGUGAGAAGUCUUGUUCAGAAGACUUAAAACAUUGAACCCUUGCCGAAAGGUAAAACCAGUAGUUAUCCAUCUUUAUCCUUUCUGCAUUCCCUUUUUCCUUAAAUUAUUUACUUUCCUUAAAUGGCUUGUUAGUUAAUCAUGCUAUAUUGAAAAGAAACUAAAAAGGUUAAAAAUAGUAAGCCCCAUGUGAGUAUGCUCAUGGCAUAAAACCCAUAAGUACAUUCACUUUGGUGGCGUAAAAAUAAAAUAAAUAUAUUCCUGUCCUAUAGAAAUAAAAAUAUAAAAAAAUAAAUUUAUGAUCCUACCAAAAAGAGUAAUAUUUAUUAGAGGAAGCUCAACAUGAUAAAGGCUAGAUAUUUAUGCUAACACUUAACCAGUCCCACAAAGCUUUGUUGUCUAUUUGAGCUCCACAGAAUUCAGAGAUCAAAGAAGACUAGCAGACAGAGGACAUCCUAAUCGCUGUCAGGGUGCUGCCGACAUUCAAAUACACCUCCACCACCUGCUAGCUACAUCAGAAGAAAUUACAUCGAAAUCCAGCUUGGGGGAGAGCACCCCCAUUUAUCCAGCUAAGUGUUUCUACUCAUGUUUAUACUUUACUCAAAUAAUAAAAAGAUGCAUAAUCAUAAAAAACCCAAAUAAAGAUUUUGUGCUUAUAUAUAUAUAUCUUUUCUUAGUUUGCUAAAUAAAUAAAUAAAUAAAGCUUGCUAUGAACCCUCAUGAUAAGCUCUCACAUGGAAAUGACGAAUAAUUGCUCUGCCAUGAUUAGUUCUCAAAAUUGAAAUCUCUCUCAUGUUUAGGCAUGACUGUUAUGAAUUAAGAUUUGCUCUAAACCUGAACUUGUGGGAAGAGUACUUGAUCUAAAGUCUAAGUCGUUAACGGAUAUGAUAUGGGAAGGUUGAGCUGUUGUUUAUCUGUUUCUAGAGAUGCUAGAAUUCUGGAGAAUUUUAUAUUUGAAAAUAUUUAAAAUGUUGCAUGAUGAGUUCCUGUAUGAUGAGAGUUUAAAAUCCUACCACAGCCAUAUAUACAUGCUUAUUAGACUAUGAACCAUAUAUUUACUUUUACUACUUAUGAGCAUUGAGUGUGGUCAAGCUGUGUAGACCCUUAGAAGCUUGUCAUGCGCUUAAAAUCAAGAUUCACUUGCACGAUCACUCAUACAUGCUGCUUCUACUCCGGAAGCAUGCAUCCACAUACAUCCACUCAUUUCCAUCUCCUGAUUUACCCAAAAUUAUUCUACUCCUAUCCAGGAGAGAAUAGCCAAAAACAUUAUCCUAUCUCUGUUAUUCCCAGUGAAAUUAAUGCUCGAGAUAUUUUGAUUACUACCACUUGCUACAUUAUUCUAGGAGGGUGAGUGCUCUGAAAAAAAAAGUGAAUACGAGGAAAUAAAAAGGGGCAAGUGCCCGGAACCUUAAAAGAAAAGAAAAAGUGAGAUGAGAGGUAAAAAUGGACAAGUGUCCGACAGUAGAAUUAGGGGUACAAGAUACCCACCUGAGAGAAAAGAAAAAGAAAAUAUAGAGCAUCUCAUUCCUCUCAAAAACCUUCAAAGUGCAAGAAAGGUAUGUAUCCCCUCAAAAGAGCAAAAGUAGAAUUAGACUUUCACCAUUAUUUUCACCAUUAUCACCAUAAUCACCAUACACCAUUCAUUCACCACACAUGCACAUCUUGAUUUGACUUAUUGACUUAUUUCUCUAGAUCCAUGAUUUGACUAUGCAAUAAAUGUCUUAUAAGUAUGUAUUAGUUGUCUCCCACCUAUGAGCUCCAGAUAUCAAAACCUUAUUAGAGUAGGGUGAGAGAGAAGGCAAUAUCACUAUGCCUCAUACCAAAAAUACCACAUACUUUGAGAGAAGGCAUAUACCAUCACUGCCUUGGUAAGGAUCUAAAAAUACCACAAAAGAGAGAAUUGAGAGAGUCAUACAAAGGAAUCUCUGAGUUUUAUUUGAAAAUCUGCAAAAACUCCAGAGCUAUAGUUGAUCAAGAACAAGAGACAUGACGCUUGACUUCACCGUUCUGUCUUUUAACCGCUCAAGACACAAGUGACGGUUGCAAGCCCCAUGGUGGAAGGUAAAAUGAGUAAGUUUUAAAUCUUAACAGUUUACCCUAACCUAGAGAUGAGAUCUUGUUUAAACGCAUGUGUACCUUUAAGGCAUAAAACCACUACAGAAACUCUUGAGUCCAUUCUUGCUCAGGGACGAGCAAGAGGUAAGCUUGGGGGAGUUGUUGACGGUCCUUAAGUACCAAAUAUAAUCAUCAAAUAAAUAAAGAAAAGGAUCCAAAUGCAACCAACACCCAGACUCAGGGUUUUAUCUGACAGAAUUCCAUGAGUUUUGGUGUUUGUCUAUUUUUGCAGGGGGUGAUCAGGAAAUAUGGAGGAAAGGCCCACAUGUCGGGUUUACAUAGAGAUAUUAACGUGCCAUGCAAUUUUCUAUCAUCUGGAAGACUCCAGAAGCCACGGGAACGAACGAGAAGGCAAUCGGGCCCGGGGGCAGGGCGCCCGCCCUAGUCCUUAGGGCGCCCACCCUCCUAUUCUGCCCAAUGAGAGUACAACUCGGGGAUUAUGGUCCACCGACCUAAAGGAUCAAGAAUAACCAUUCAAUCAAUGUCGGUUUGAUCCGACAGCCCAGAUUCCCUUGAGGGGACUAUAUAAGUAGACCCCCUGGCCCCUAGAGGAGGCACCCCUUGAUCCCUAAUCAUUAUUCAUAGACAGAGCAAAAGCUAGGGUUUGGAGAUGAGAGCUCUCCUCUCAUCUCUAAACUAGAGUAGAUCUAGAUAGUAGCGAGAUGGAGAGCGAGGGAGGAUUGGAGGAGAGGUCGGACUGUCGGUUCUUCCUCCGGUUGUAUUUCGUCAUGAUCAAGCUCUAAUCAAGCUUGCUCAUGGGAUGACUCUAGUAAUCUACUUCUAAUUCAUUAUGCAAUUACUAAUCAUGUAUGUUCUGGUUCACAACUCUUUUGGGUACUUCUAAUCUAUAGGACCCUAUUGGUUAGAGUUGUAGUAUAGGUGUAAGCGUGGUGCUUAGACCUAGAUUACUUGUGGAUAUCCCCUGUUUAGCUGGAUCGUGUGGUAGGCCGCGUAGGUGACAGUUACGUUGGUCCCUUGUAGUCCACCUCCUAUUAGCAGGACGGGUAGGGUUUAUCGGCCUAUGGAUAAGCAUCCUUUGUGGUGUAUUCUUAUCACGUGGUUUGUCCCAGACAUAGACAUACCCCUUUGAAGUAGAGAAACCAUAGUUAUCCUCUCUAUUUUGCUACCAUCGACCAUAUACUAGAUUGCUCUACUCUCUAUUCCCAUAUUAUCACCCAUUGUUAUCUUACCUUUAAUAUUGUUCUUAUUCAAUUCUCCUAUCUCCACAAGAGUUCUGGCUUGUGAUAUGGUAAGUGAUAUGAAUGCUCCUCCAGCUGCAGCAUCCAUGGUCUCUCGGGCACUGUUGCCGAGCCCAUGAUAAAACGUCUGAAUUAGUAGCCAACUCUCCGUUCCAUGAUGGGGACAUUCCAGGAUGUAGUCUUGGAAGCGCUCCCAUGCUUCUGGAACAGAUUCAUCAUGUUGUUGCUGAAAACUUGUAAUUUUCCCACGGAGAGCAUUGGUCUUGCCUAUGGGAAAGAACUUAGCCAAAAAGUUCGUGGAGCAGAGUGCCCACGUAGUAUUCUUCUCCUCUGUAGCGUAGAACCACUGCUUCGCUCUCCCCAACAGUGAGAGUGGGAAGAGGCGAAGUAGUAUAGCAUCUAUGGGGACUCCUGAUAUGGUGAAUGUGUUGCAAAUCUCCAGGAAGUGUUGAAGAUGAGCACUAGCAUCUUCGUGUGCCUUCCCACAGAACUGGUUGGAUUGCACCAUGUUGAUAAGUCUAGGCUUGAGCUCAAAGUUGCCGUUGAUAUCUGCAGCAGGUCCAGUAUGGAUGUUGUCCGUAGUGGGCGAUGAAAACUCGCGGAUCGAUUUGUUCGCCAUGGCUCCAAACUCUGAAGACAAGUUCCGGUGAUCUUCUUGAUUGGAUGAAGCUUCUUGCUGAAGUGUUGAUGAUCUCUUCUUGAGCUCGGCUCUUGUUUUUCUGAAUAACGCUUCGGGAUUGUCAACAAAAUUUCCUGGAAGAUGUCUUCUAUUCAUACAUUACCCUGCAUAAGAUAAAAUAGAAAAUAACGGGGUAAAACUGUAUGAGAAAAUUGAUAAGCUCAAUCAUAUUAAUACCGAUGUAGCAUUUUAACCGGGAAGUAUUCCAGGUAUCGUUAUUUAUAUUUUUACCACUAGGAAGGGAUUAGCAAUCAUCAAUGUUGAUUAUAGAAUGAAAUAUAAGAUUGAGUGUCUAUCAUUGCAUAUAUAAUUGAGAACAAUUAUCUAUCUCUUUCAUACAGGGAUAAGUGUCACAUAAAGGAUAUAUAAAGUAAUGAAUAGUGACAAACAUAAUUAAUAUGAUCAGCAUAACUUAGCCACAUAUAAAUAUGAUAAGCACCUCAAUUAGAUAUUCUAGCAAGUCAUUAGCAUGGAAUUAGGAUGAACUACAAGAAUAUUUUCUAAGUUAUUCUCAACUAUACAGUCUAGCAUAUCAUAGUUAGUGCAAUUAUACUUAGCAAUCAUUGCGAGACAGGACUACGCCCAUGCAUAGUGAUAUUAUCAAGGAAUAUGAGAAACAUCGCAAUCACUCCCCUGUAAUAAUGUUGUUGUGCCAGCCCAAUACACGAGAGGGGGACUAUAUAAAAAAUCAAUGGAGCUGUCACUACCACGAACUACCCCGCGAUCUGGCAUAUAGGGUACAGUCAGGUAUAAGCACCACGCCUACACAGUAUCUAUCAUUUACCCAUGGAUCCAAUGGAUAAAUGCUAUAUGAUCCUAAACAUGUAUAUAAAUCAAAUCUAACUAAGACGAGUAUUUAACUAUGAUAAACUAAGAACAAUAUAAUUGCGAAUAUAAACAAGUAGAGCAAAGUCAUAACCAAUAUAUUGAAGUAGAACAAAGUCAUAUUCAUAAUAUUGAAGAACAAAGAUGAACAAUUGAAGAACAAUAGAGAAUUACCAAGAAUCCUCUUGACAGAUCCGGAAACCAAUCGAAGAUUGACUCCUUCUAGUUCUAAUCCUAUGUAGCUAUGCUAAUCUAGAUAUCUAAUUGAUGUGGUGGCUCUAGGCUUGAUCAGAGGCUUCUUCUCCCUUGAUGAAUAAUGAAUUAGGGUUGAGAGGUCCUCUCCUCCAGGGGCCAGGGGGUCUAGUUUUAUAGUCCUUCCAUGUGAAUAUGGGCCGUCGGAUCAAACCGACAUUGAUUGAACGGUUAUCCUUGAUCCUUUAGGUCGGUGGAGCGUAAUCCCAAAAGAGAGUCCUGAUUGGACUCCGGAGGGGGGCGGGCGCCCUGGUCCCUAGGGCAGGCGCCCUGGGCCAGGCUCCAUUCUACCUCCACUCCGUUCCCGUGGCUUCUGGAGUCUUCUAGAUGUAAGAUAAUUGUGCGGCACGUUAAUGUCUCUAUGUAAUCCCGACGUGUGGGCCUUUCUUCCGUAUUUCCUGAUAACCCCCUACAGAAAUAGACAAACACCAAAACUUGUGGAAUUCUGUGAGACAAAACCCUUAGUCUGGAUGUUGGUUGCAUUUGGAUCCUUUUCUUUGUUUAUUUGAUAAUUAAAUUUGAUAUUUAAGGACCGUCAACACUUGGUACUUAGAGUUUUCAUGAUAGUUCAAAAGAAAGCACAUAGUUUAUUCGGACUCCUCAUUUAUCACUCUCUCAAACUCCUGAGUUUGUAAAGCCAUCUUACCAAGGCAUACUGAGCCCUUCUUGCUACAUCCUACAUCUAUCAGGCUUAUGUGGAGCUUGGUAGGAAAAAACAAGGUAGCAUAUCAUGCAUUGUAUUUAUUGUAAAGUCAAUGCAAGGAUCUAAGGAUAGGAGUGUCAUAGUCCGAGAUCAAGAUGUGCAAGUGUGUAUGAUAUGAGAAUGAUAACUAGAUAGCUCCUUUAUUGACUUUGCUCUCUCUAUUUCUUUGUUUCUAUGAGACAAGGCUAGCUUUUUUUCUUUUUUCUUUUUUUAGCCUCUGCUUUUGGGUCUCAUCUAUAAUUAACUCUUAGAGAGAGAUUCUAUACUAUUGAGCAUAUGGAGCAUCUAUAUUUGUGGGAUGGAAUGGGAUGUUGCGUGCUCCCAGUGUAGGAGUGGCACGAAAUGUGGUGUGUGCGAUCUGGAUCUUAGGACUAUGACAAAAACUCUCACUAUAAUCUACAUGAUUUGACCAAAUUCAAUACAUAUGCAAGCUACAGACAAGGGUUGUUUCAGACAUACAUGUUUUGGCUCUGGUAGGGAUUUCAUUGCUAAUGAGGAGUGAAUAAAACUAUGGUUUUAUGAUAUUUAAAAUAAAAUUCUAAGUACCUUGAACAGAAUUGGUGUGAUGAGCUUAGAACUAUGUCACUUUCAUCAACAACUUAGUCAAAAUGCAUUCCUAUAUAAUUUUGUACCCAUAAGCAUAAACAUAUGCUAGAAUAAACUAUGUGUCACAUAUGGAUAUUUAAAUGCCAAAACUCAAGUUAGUCAUGUGAAUUAAAUUUCAUUUUAUACAAUUAGAGUAGAGGAGGGAAAAGUAAGGAUGAGAGGGAGUAAAGGAUGCAAACCAAACAUGAAGAUAUGGGUCAUCGUGUUGAUGCUGGCUAGUGGGCCCGGGGUCACCAGGUGGGGUCGACCGACCCUGCCCUGGUGUGCCCAGGGUGGCCCCUGUGUUCCCCUCGACGUGUGGAGUGUUGCCGUGACGUCAGUUUUCCGGGUGGUGGAAAACCUCGGGUCGACCAACCGGGCCUUUGGGUCAAUAUUUAGCGUGUCAACUCGGGUCUGUGCUCCUGACCAAAGUGUGUGCUUUGUUUCGUCUAGUGAGGACAUUGGGUGGAUUGGCCGAUCCCCCACAGUUUUGGUUUUCUGUGUUCUGGAUUUCAACAACACGAAUGAAAUCACGUGCGCAUGUUCUGCUGGUGGCAACACACCAGUAGAACUCUAAGUCUUAUUUUAUUCCAACUAGGCUUUUUAUUCAAGAAUUCAAAUAUUGUAGGAACUUUAACAAGGGAAAAUCAAAAGGGAAAUUGAACUAAAGAAGUCGAAAUGGACUAAUUUAAAACUAAGUGCCUAAUAAUCUAAUUAAAGUAAACUAGGGAGAGGGGAUCUCUAGUAGAUCCUCUCUAUUGAUUGCCUUAACGUUCCUCUUGAUCUUCGCAUUAUUGCUAAUGCGAAGAUGGUUAAACUCGUCCGCCAAGUCCUGGUAGGCCAUCUUUAGCUCUGACACGGUCUCCAUGAGGGCCGUGUUCUUCUUGCGCAGGACACCAGUGACGUGGAGGAUCUUCUCCACAUCGCUCUUCUCCUGCUCCCCCUCAAAUUGGCCAGGAGGGGCUCUGAUGGGAGGUGGAGACAGCCGAUGGCGAACGGAGCCGCUGGUGGAGUCGUUGGACUCCCUCAGGGCCCUCCGCUCUUUGGUUUCCAACGACCGGAUGAGUUUCUUCCCCAUCCCAAGCCCUGCGCUCAUAAUCUUGCACAACGGCGGUGAAGCUAGGGUGUANNNNNNNNNNNNNNNNNNNNNNNNNNNNNNNNNNNNNNNNNNNNNNNNNNNNNNNNNNNNNNNNNNNNNNNNNNNNNNNNNNNNNNNNNNNNNNNNNNNNNNNNNNNNNNNNNNNNNNNNNNNNNNNNNNNNNNNNNNNNNNNNNNNNNNNNNNNNNNNNNNNNNNNNNNNNNNNNNNNNNNNNNNNNNNNNNNNNNNNNNNNNNNNNNNNNNNNNNNNNNNAGGUCGGUUGACCCAAAGACAUGGUCGGCCGACCAGAGGUAUGGCCCAACGGGCCCUCCGGUGGGUGGCACCAUGGCCAGAGGCUCUGCCUUGAUGACAUCCAACGCCAUGAGCUGCUCCAAUUUCUCUGUAAGGGAGAGGGCAGGCAUUGGUGAGUCAGGGCAGCGGAUGAUCUAGUUGUUCUUUGAUGGAGGGGCCAUGGCAAGGUGUUGGUGGUGAUGGUGAGGUGUUCAAGAGUUCAGAAUGGCUCCUUAUUCGAGGUAGAAAGCAAUGGGAGGAAGAAGAAGAGGAGGAGGGAGCUAUUUGUAGGCUUAGGAGGAUGUUCCUGGCCAUAUGAAAUUUGAAAAUCCACUUAGAGCAUCGGAGGGAUAAUCAGGAGGAUGAGAGUGAUCUGAGACCAUUUGGAUCCCUUCAAAGAUGGAUUGGUCGACCGACUAAUUUCAAAGUUUUGAAAUUUUGAGUUCGUGGCGACCUUCCACACUCUGUUCUUUACGUGGCAAGGUGCCUAGGUGCACUAAGAGUUGGUCGGUCAACCCCCUCUUUGGGGCUUGGCUCGACCGGGGUUUGUACCCUAGCAUCCCGGAGUCGUGACAGGCGUGGUGCCCUCUGGAUCAACACUUACCUCGGUCGACCGACCCCCUUAGUGGGAGCCUGGCUCGACCAGGUGUGUCUCUCGGGCCACCCUUAGUCGUGACAGGUGUAGUGUCCUUUGGGUCGACACUUACCUCAGUCGACCGACCCCCUUAGUGUGAGUCUGGCUCGACCAGGUGUGUCUCUUGGGUCACCCAAGAGUUUAUUGGGUGGCCUGACCCCUAAGUGUGCUAAGUCUUCACUCCAUCUAGUGAUCAAGCAAUCAAGAAAAUAGAUUGACAUAUAGGUUUUAGUUGAUGGGGUUUAGAACAAAUUCUAUCGUGUCUACUUAUUUUUCUAAAGGUUCAUGUUCAUAAAAGAGCUUGAGGCGAUGACCAUUUACCUUAAAGACGUUGCCAUCGUUGUCCUAAAGCGUUACGGCUCCAUGUGUUAAGGCGUCGAUCACCAAGUACAGGCCUUCCCACUUGCUCCUCAGCUUCCCAUGGCCAAAAAGUUUGACCCUGGAGUUGAACAAAAGAACUUUGUUCCUAGGAUGGAACUCUUUUUCCUUGAUUCACUUAUCAUGCCAUCUUUUGGUUCUCUCCUUAUAGAUUCUGGAAUUGUGAUAAGCUUUCUCUCUCCAUUCUUCCAGUUUUGAGAUUUGAAGCUUUCGAUUGAGGCCGGCUGAGGGCAGGUCCAUAUUCCAUCUUUUUAUGGCCCAAUGUGCCCUAUGCUCGAGCUCAACUGGUAAGUGGCAUGUCUUUCAGUAUACAAGAUGGUAUGGUGACAUACUGAAGGGGGUCUUGUAUGCGGUCCUAUAUGCCCAAAGUGCAUCAUGGAAUUUGUUCACCCAUCCUGUCCCCAUUUCCUUGACAGUCUUUUGCAGAAUGUUCUUGAUUUGGUUAUUUGAGGUUUCUGCUUGUCUGCUUGUUUGGGGAUGAUAAUGUGUUCCCACAUUGUGCCUUAUCCCCACUUCCAUUGGGAAUUCACGGAAUCUCCCGUCAAUGAAGUGGCUGCCCCCAUCACUAAUAACCAACCUUGGGGUGCCAAAUCUUGGGAAGAUGAUCUCCUAAAACAUCUUUUUGGCAUGUUUUGAGUCAGCUGCUCUGCAAGGCAAUGCUUCAACCCAUUUGGACACGUAGUCCACUGCCACCAAGAUGUACUCAUAGCCUUGACAUGGUGAGAAUGGACCCAUGUAAUCUAUUCCCCAGACAUCAAACAACUCCACUUGAAGGUUGUUUGGGAGUGGCAUGGCGUCACGGGUAUUGAUAUUCCCAUGUCGCUAACACCUCUCACACCUCUUGAUGAAGUCUUGAGUGUCUUGGUACAUGGUAGGCCAAUAGAAUCCACUUUGCCAAAUUUUGGGAUGGGUCCUGAAUGUACCAUAAUGGCCUCCAUAUUCAGCUCCGUGGCACUUCUCAAUGAUUUGAACGGCUUCUUCCAUAGGGACACAUCUUCUUAGCACACCAUCCUGGCAGACCCUAUAGAGGUAAGGGUCGUCCCAAAGGUGCACUUGGCUCUACUUGAUUUGCUUCUUCUUAUCUACCCCAGUGGCACAUAGCCAGAAACCAUGUAAUUGAUGAUGUUUGCGUACCACGGGUAGGCGGCUGACACCUUGAGGAGUGUGUCGUCCCAAAGAUAGUCGUUGAUUGGUAGAUCAUGUUUAUCCUCAAUCUACAUUCUAGACAAGUGGUCUACGACCGAGUUCUCUAGUCCCUUUUUAUCUUUUGUUUCUAAAUCAAAUUCUUGGAGUAGCAGGAUCCAUCUUAUUAGCCUUGGUUUAGCAUCUUUCUUAGUGAGCAGAUAUUUUAGUGUAGUGUGAUCGGUGUAAAUGAUCACUUUUGCCCCUACUAAGUAUGAUCUAAACUUGUCUAUAGCAAACACUAUAGCUAAAAGUUCCUUUUCUGUUGUUGCAUAGUUUAGUUGUGGGCUAGUUAGUGUUUUGCUAGUGAAAGAGAUAGCGUGAUGCUUUUUAUCUUUGGUCUAUCCUAAGACAGCUCCUACAGCAUAAUCACUAGCAUCACACAUUAUCUCAAAAGGAAGCGACCAAUUAGGGGGUUGUAUGAUUGGUGUAGAGAUAAGUACUUUCUUGAGGCAGUAAGAAGCAACUAAGCACUCAUCGUCAAAGUUAAAGGGUGCAUCUUUAGCCAACAGGUUUGUUAAAGGUCUAGCAAUUUGUGAAAAAUCUUGUAUAAACCUCCUAUAAAAACCUACGUGACCAAGAAAACUGUGUACACCUCUAACAUUCGUGGAUGGUGGGAGCUGUGUUGACGGUCCUUAAGUAUCAAAUUUAAUUAUCAAAUAAACAAAGAAAAAGAUCCAAAUGCAAUCGACAUCCAGACUUAGGGUUUUAUCUGACAGAAUUCCACGAGUUUUGGUGUUUAUCUAUUUCUACAGGGGGUUAUCAGGAAUUAUGGAGGAAAGGCCCACACAUCGGGUUUACAUAGAGAUAUUAACGUGCCGCGCAAUUAUCUAACAUCUAGAAGAGUCCAGAAGCCACGGAAACGAACGGGAGACCGGACGGGCUCGAGGGCAGGGCGCCCGCCCUCCCCCCUUGGGCGCCCGCCCUGACCACGAGGUCAAUCAGCUUCAACUUCACGGAUCAUGCUCCACCGACCUAAAGGAUCAAGGAAAACUAUGCGAUUAAUGUCGGUUUGAUCCGACGGCCCACAUUCACUUGGAAGGACUAUAUAAGUAGACCCCCUGGCUCCUGGAGGAGAGGACCUCUGAACCCUAAUUCAUUAUCUAUCUUAGGAGAAGAAGCCUCUGAUCAAGCCCUAGAGCCACCACAUCAAUUAGAUCUCUAGUUUAGCAUAGCUACAUAGGAUUAGAACUAGAAGGAGUCAACCUUCGAUUGGUUUCCGCAUCUGUCAAGAGGAUUCUUGGUAAUUCCUCUAUUGUUCUUCAAUUGUUCAUCUUUGUUCUUCGAUGUUAUGAAUAUGACUUUGUUCAACUUCAAUAUAUUGAUUAUGACUUUGCUCUACUUGUUUAUAUUCGCAAUUAUAUUGUUCUUAGUUUAUCAUAGUUAUAUGCUUGUCUUAGUUAGAUUGGAAUUAUAUACAUGUUUAGGAUCGUAUAGUGUUUAUCCAUGUGUACAGUGGGUAAAUGAUAAGUAUUGUGUAGGCGUGGUGCCUAUACCGUAUUUAUCUGCAAUUGUACCCUAUAUGCCAGAUCGCGGGGUAGUUCGUGGUAGUGAUAGCUCCAUUGAUUCUUGUAUAGUCCCCCUCUCGUGUAUAGGUCUGGCAGAGCAACAUUAUUACAGGGGAGUGAUUGCUAUGUUUCUCAUCUUCCUUGAUAAUAUCACUAUGCAUGGGCGUAAUCCUGUCUCACAAUGAUUGCCAAGUAUAAUUGCACUAACUAUGAUAUACUAGACUUUAUAGUUAAGAAUAACAUAGGAAAUAUUCUUGUAGUUCGUCCUAAUUCCAUGCUAAUGACUUGCUAUAAUAUCUAUUGAGGUGCUUAUCAUAUUUAUAUGUGGCUAAGUUAUGCUGAUCAGAUUAAUUAUCUUUGUCACCAUUCAUACUUUAUCUGUCUUUUAUGUGACACUUAUUCCUGUAUGAAAGAGAUAGAUAAAUGCUCUCAAUUAUACAUGCAACGAUAGAUACUCAAUCUUAUAUUCCAUUCCAUAAUCAACAUUGAUGAUUAGAAAUCCCUUCCCAGUGGUAAAAAUAUAAAUAACGAUGCCUGGAACUUCCCGGUUAAAAUGCUACAUCGGUAUUAAUCUGUGUGCUUGCAGAUCUCAUUUAUUAUUUAUUUAGAAGAGCAAUUGCAUAUUUCAAUACCGCGUCUCUUAUGUUAUGCUGGGGAUGACAACUUGGCUUAAGUGGCAUGAGGGAUAGGUUUGGCAUUUUUGGCGCCGUUAUCAGAACUAGAAAACUAAGUCUACUUUUGGUAGUGACGUUGAGAAUGCCCAACAAGCAUUUUUGGCGCCGUUGCCGGGGAAGGUUGAUUACUAAUCAGGAAUGAAUAUGGAAUUUUGAGUCAUCAUUCGCAUCACUAAUAUGAUUGAGAUUAUCAAUUCUCUCAUAUAGUUUUACCCCGAUACUUUUGUAUUUUAUUUUAUGUAGGGUAAUGUAUGAAUAGAAGACAUCUUCCAUGAAGUUUUGUUGACAAUCCCGAAGCAUUAUUCGGAAAAACAAGAGCCAAGCUCAAGAAGAGAUCAUCAACACUUCAGCACGAAGCUUCAUCCAAUCAAGAAGAUCACCGAAGUUUCACCUGGAACUUGUCUUCAAAAUUCGAAGUCAUGGCGAACAAAUCGAUGACAACUUUGAGAUCAACAUCCGUAUGGACCUGCUGCACUAUGGACAACAUCCGUACUAGACCUGCUGCAGAGAUUGAUGACAACUUUGAGAUCAAGCCUGGACUUAUCAACAUGGUGCAAUCUAACCAGUUCUGUGGGGAGGCACACGAAGAUGCUAGUGCUCAUCGAUGGCAACUUUGAGAUCAAGCCUAGACUUAUCAACAUGGUGCAAUCCAACCAGUUCUGUGGGAAGACACACAAAGAUGCUAGUGCUCAUCUCUAACACUUCCUGGAGAUUUGCAGCACAUUCACCAUAUCAGAAGUCCCCAGAGAUGCUAUACUACUUCGCCUCUUCCCAUUCUCAUUGUUGGGGAGAGUGAAGCAGUGGUUCUAUGCUACAAAGGAGAAGAACACUACGUGAGUGUUGACGGUCCUUAAGUAUCAAAUUUAAUUAUCAAAUAAACAAAGAAAAGGAUCCAAAUAAAAUCAACAUCCAGACUUAGGGUUUUAUCUAACAGAAUUCCAUGAGUUUUGGUGUUUGUCUAUUUCUGUAGGGGGGUAUCAGGAAAUACGGAAGAAAGGCCCACACGUCGGGAUUACAUAGAGAUAUCAACGUGCCGCGCAAUUAUCUUACAUCUAGAAGACUCCAGAAGCCACGAGAAGGAAGCGUUGGCCGAACAGAUCCAGGCCCUGGGCGCCCGCCCAGUUGACCUGGGUGCCCACCCCCUCCUGGAGUCCUAACAGGACUCUAUUUCGGGAAACAUCUCCACCGACCUAAAGGAUCAAGGAUAACCGUUCAAUCAACGUCGGUUAGAUCCAACGACCCAUAUUCACUUGAAGCGACUAUAAAACCAGACCCCCUGGCCCUUGGAGGAGAGAGCCUCUCAACCCUAAUUCAUUAUUCUCAAGGGAGAAGAAGCCUCUGAUCAAGUUUAGAGCCACCACAUCAAUUAGACAUCUAGAUUAGCAUAGCUACACAAGAUUAGAACUAGAAGGAGUCAAUCUUCGAUUGGUUUCCGGAUCUGUCAAGAGGAUUCUUGGUAAUUCUCUAAUUUUUCUUCUAAUCAUCUUUGUUCUUCAAUAUUAUGAAUAUGACUUUGUUCUACUUCAAUAUAUUGCUUAUGACUUUGCUCUACUUGUUUAUAUUCAAGAUUAUAUUGUUCUUAGUUUAUCAUAGUUAUAUACUUGGCUUAGUUAGAUUGGAAUUAUAUACAUGCUUAGGAUCGUAUAGCGUUUAUCCAUCGGAUCCAUGGGUAAAUGAUAGAUAUUGUGUAGGCAUGGUGCUUAUACCGUAUUUAUCUGCGAUUGUACCCAAUUUGCCAGAUCGCGGGGUAGUUCGUGAUAGUGACAGCUUCGUUGAUUCUUAUAUAGUCCACCUCUCGUGUAUUGGCAGAGCAACAUUAUUACAGGGGAGUGAUUGCUAUGUUUCUCAUAUUCCUUGCUAAUAUCACUAUGCAUGGGCGUAGUCUUGUCUCGUAAUGAUUACUAAGUAUGCUUGCACUAACUAUGAUAAUGCUAGACUAUAUAGUUGAGAAUAACUUAGGAAAUAUUCUUGUAGUUCGUUCUAAUUCCAUGCUAAUGACUUUCUAGAAUAUCUAAUUGAGGUGCUUAUCAUAUUUAUAUGUGGCUAGUUAUGCUGAUCAGAUUAAUUAUCUUUGUCACUAUUUAUUACUUCAUAUAUCUUUUAUGUGACACUUACCCCUGUAUGAAAGAGUUAGAUAAAUGUUCUCAAUUAUAGAUGCAAUGAUAGAUACUCAAUCUCAUAUUCCAUUCUAUAAUCAAUAUUGAUGAUUGCUAAUCCCUUCCCAGUGGUAAAAAUAUAAAUAACGAUACGUGGAAUACUUCCCGGUUAAAAUGCUACAUCGGUAUUAAUCUGUGCGCUUGCAGAUCCCAUUCAUUAUUUAUUUAGAAGAGCAAUUGCAUAUUUCAAUACCGUGUCUCUCAUGUCAUGCUGGGGAUGACAACUUGGCUUAAGUGGUAUGAGGGAUAGGUUUGGCAUUUUUGGCACCGUUAUCAGAAUUAGAAAACUAAGUCUACUUUUGGUAAUGAUGUUAAGAAUACCCAACAAGCAUUUCUGGCGCCGUUGCCGGGGAAGGUUGAUUACUAAUCAGGAAUGGAUAUAGGAUUUUGAGUUAUCAUUAGCAUCACUAAUAUGAUUGAGCUUAUCAAUUCUCUCAUACAGUUUUACCCCGAUAUUUAUCCUAUUUUAUGUUAUGCAGGGUAAUGUAUGAAUAGAAGACAUCUUCCCGGAAAUUUUGUUGACAAUCCCGAAGCAUUAUUCAGGAAAACUAGAGCCAAGCUCAAGAAGAGAUCAUCAACACUUUAGCAAGAAGCUUCAACCAAUCAAGAAGAUCACCGGAACUUGUCUUCAGAGUUCGAAGCCAUGGCAGACAAAUCGAUCCGUGAGUUCUCAGCCCCCACUACGGACAACAUCCGCACUGGACCUGCUGUAGAGAUCAAUGGCAACUUUGAGCUCAAGCCUGGACUUAUCAACAUGGUGCAAUCCAACCAGUUAUGUGGGAAGGCACACGAAGAUGCUAGUGCUCAUCUCCAACACUUUCUGGAGAUUUGCAACAUAUUUACCAUAUCAGGAGUCCCCAGAGAUGCUAUACUACUUCGCCUUUUCCCAUUCUCACUAUUAGGAAGAGCGAAAUAGUGGUUCUAUGCUGCAAAGGAGAAGAAUACUACGUGGGCACUCUGCUCCACGAACUUUCUGGCUAAGUUCUUUCCUAUGGGCAAGACCAAUGCUCUCCGUGGGAAAAUUACAAGUUUUCAGCAACAACAUGAUGAAUCUGUUCCAGAAGCAUGGGAGCGCUUCCAAGACUACAUCCUAGAAUGUCCCCAUCAUGGAAUGGAGAGGUGGCUAUUGAUGCAGACGUUUUAUCAAGGGCUCGGCAAUAGUGCCUGAGAAACCAUGGAUGCUGCAGCUGGAGGAGCAUUCCUAUCACUUACCAUAUCACAAGCCAUAGCUCUUGUGGAGAAGAUGGCGUCCAAUCAAGGCUGGAAUGAAGAGAGGACCCAGACACGCAAGAUAGGUGGAGAUAUGCAUCAGCUCAAGGAGGUAGACAUGCUGUCUGCAAAGCUAGACCUGCUCAUGAAGAAGCUCGAUGAUAGAGCUAGAGAUAAGAAAGAAGUUAUGCACAUCUACGACUCUCACAUGACUUGUGAGGAGUGUGGAGAUACUGGACACUCAGGCAAUCACUGCCCUGAGAUGCUUGAGGAUGUGAACUACAUCAACAAUAACAACAACAACUACUACGACCGUCCUCAACAAAACCAAGGUUGGAAUCAACAGAGGCCUAACUACUUAGGUAAUUAUCAAGGUAACAAUUCUUACAACAAUAAUAAUAAUUUUCCACCUCUAAGAGAGUUAGUGUCUAAUCAAGGAAAGCUAAAGGAUAACCUAUCUAAGAAAUUGGCAUCUAAUGAUAAAAUGUUAGAAAAUAUAAAUAAUAGAAUGGAUAAUUUCUCUACUACUAUCAAGAAUCAAAUUAGCAUUAAUAAAAUGGUUGAAUCUCAGUUAAAUCAAAUAGCUGCUGCUGUUCCUACUACUAACCCCGGUAUACCAUCACAACCGGAAGGAUUAGAAUCAGCAAAUCUUGUAGACAUGUUUGAUGCAGGUAACUACUGGAGUGACCCCUUCACUGAAGUUACUACUGACCUUCUGCCGGUCAAGAGAGGCGAUCCAGGAUGCCCCGUCAUCCCGAUCUCCAUCGGCAUGGUGGACGUCCCAGAAGCACUCUGUGACUUUGGCUCCAGCGUCAACAUUAUACCCAGGGUACUCUAUGAAAAAUUCUUUACAUAUCCUUUAUUAGAAACAACCAUGUGUUUGCAGUUUGCAGAUCAGACGAUAAGUUUUCCAAAGGGAAUAUUGAAGAACCUCUGUGUCCGAGUUGGUACCUUAUAUGCCCUAGCACACUUUAUGGUGAUAGAGACCGGUAAUGAUGAGAGAGCACCCAUCAUCUUAGGGAGGCCAUUCUUAAACACCUCGGGAGCUGUCAUCUACGCUAGUGCUGCCAAGAUCAGUUUCUACAUCAAAGGGAAGAAGGAGACGUUUUCCUUCAAGAACAAGACUACACAAAUCCCAGAUCAAUCCAGACGUGAAUCAAGGAAGAGGACCAACAGGAGGAACAAGAACAAACAAGUAUGGACCGAGUCAGCUAAGAUGGUCACUGUAGUUCAUGGAGGUCAAGAUCAUCAACUUAAGUCACCAUUUUUGACCAAGAAGGACGACCCAGGAAUGCCAAGCAUCUAUUGCUCUAUAAAUGGAUACAACUUCUACAAGAGGACUUGCGACACCGGAUCGGGCGUCAACAUAAUGGCCACAGUCACCUAUCGGCUCUUGUUCGGAACCAUGCCCCUAAAACCAACAUACAUUUAGCUCCAGAUGGCAGAUCAUACGUUCGAGAAGUUAAAGGAAUAGUAACUGAUGUCCCUGUCAAAAUAGACGAUCAUUUUGUCUACACAGACUUUCAGGUUAUUGACAUGGGAGAAGACGAAUACGAUCCACCCAUCAUCCUUGGAAGACCGUUCCUCACCACCGUUAAAGCAGUCAUCUACAUUGAAACCAGAGAAGUCCAUACGCACUUGCCCUCAGAAAAGGUACGCUGCUAUUUUAAUGACCCUAACUAUAUCGUUGAAGACUCUAAGCAGGUCAGAAAACGACGCAACCGCAACCAGAGGAGGCAGAUCAUCAAGGUCGGAUGGGCAGACUAUGAAGGAGAAGUAGUGAGGUGAGAAAACAUACAGUUUAAACAGAAUUAUCCAGAGGAGACCGUAGCACGGAGUCAGGUAUGGAAAGAGAAGAUAACUAUACAUGAAGAGGAGGCGCUGCCGGAAGUACCGACUCCGCCACCCAACGAAUCCUAGGACGACUGAGAAAACGGAGAGUCCAAUUCGGAGGACUUAAAAACACCGAACGCCUUGCCAAGAGGUAAACUUGGUAGUUAUCCUUUCCCUUUCAAUUAUUUUAAAUAGUUUGCUUAGUUAAUCAAGUUCAUACUAUCCUAAAAAGAAAAAUAAAAAUAUUAAAGAAUAGUAAGCCCCAUGUGAGUAUACGAGUACAUUCAUUGUGGUGGCAUAAAAAUAAAAUAAAUAUUUCUUUUCUGCUUCAUAAAAUGAAAAUAUAAAAAUAGAGAGUAACACUUAUUGAGGAGGCUCAACAUGAUAAAGGCUAGAUGUUUACGCUAACACUUAAUCAGUUCCACAAAGCUCUGUUGUCUAUUUGAGCUCCACAGAAUUUAAGAAUGAAGAAGACUAGCAGACGGAGGACAUUCUAAUCGCUGUUAAGAUACUGCUGACUUUCAAAUACACCUCUGCCACCUGCUAGUUACAUCAAUAGAAAUUACGUUAAAAUUCAGCUUGGGGGAGAGCACCCACAUUUAUCCCAAUAAGUAUUUCUAUCUAUCUAUCUUUACACUUAUACUAUAUUAAAAUAUAAAUAUAAAUAACUAUGAAAAACCAAAUAAAGAUUUUGUGCCUAUAUAAAUAUAUGUCUUUUGCUUAGUGUGUUUAAUAAAUAAAUAAAGUGGCUAUGCUAAACUGAAUCUUAAUAAUGAAACUCUAGCAUGGAUAUGAUGAAUAGUUUCUCUGCUUAAUUUUUCAAAUUUGAGUUCUCUCACUUGUUUAGACAUAACUGUUAUAAUUUAAAGCUUGCUCUAGACCUAAACUUGUGGGAUGAAAACUUGAUCUAAAGUCUAUGUUUUUAACGGAUGCGAUAUGGGAGCUGCUUAUCUGUUCCUAGAGAUGCUAAAAUUCUGGAGAGUUUUAUCUUUAAAAAUCUUUAAAAUAUUGCAUGAUGAGUUCCUGUAUGAUGAGAGUUUAAAUUCCUACCACAACCAUAUAUACAUGCUUGCUAGACUUUGAGCCACACAUUUACUUUUUACUGCUUAUGAGCAUUGAGUGUGGUCAAGCUGUGUAGACCAUUAGGAGCUUGUCAUGUGGUUAAAUCAAGAUUCACUUGCACGUUCACUCACACUUGCUGCUUCUACUCCAGAAGUACGCAUCCACAUAUAUCCACUCAUUUCCAUCUCCAGAACCAUCCAUAAAUAUUCUACUCCUAAUCCGGGAGAGAAUAGCCAAAAACAUUCUCCUAUUUCUGUUUUUCCCCCGUGAAAUAAAUGCUCAAGUUAUCUUGGUUACUACCACUUGCUAUAUUAUUUCAGGAGAUGAGUGCUCUAAGAAAAAAAUAGAAAAAGAAAAGAUAUGAGGAAAUAAAAAGGGGCAACUGUCCGGAACCUCGUAAGAAAAGAAAAAGUAAGACGAGAGGUAAAAAUGGACAAGUGUCCGACAGUAGAAUUAGGGGUACAAGAUACCCACCUGAGAGGAAAGAAAAAGAAAAGAUAGAGCAUCUCAUUCUCCUCACAAAGUUUCAAAAAGCAAGAAAGUUAUGUAUCCCCUCAAAGAGCAAAAGUAGAAUUAGACUUUCACCAUUGUUAUCACCAUCAUCACCAUACAACAUUCAUUCGCCACACAUGCACAUCUUGAUUUGACUUAUUGAUUUGUUUCUCUGGAUCCAUGGUUUGACUAUGCAAUAAAUGUCUUGUAAGUAUGUAUACUUUAUCUCCCACCUAUGAGCUCCAGAUAUCAAAAGCCUUAUUAGAGUAGGAUGAGAGAGAAGGCAAUGUCACUACGCAUUAUACCACAAAUACUACAUAUUUUGAGAGAAGUCAUAUACCAUCACUGCCUUGGUAAGGAUCUAGAAAUACCACAAAAGAGAGAUAUGGGAGAGUCAUACAAGGAAUCUCUGAGUUUUAUUUGAAAAUUUGCAAAAACUCCAGAGCCAUAGCUGAUCAAGAAUAAGAGACAUGGCACUUGACUAGACUGUUCUAUCAUUUAACUACUCAAGACAAAAGUGACGGUUACAAGUCCCAUGGUGAAAGGUAAAAUGAAUAAUUUUUAAAUCUUGACAGUUUACUCUAACUCAGAGAUGAGACCUCAUUUAAAAGCAUGUGUACCGUCAAUUUUGAAAGGCAUUGCAACAACUUCUGAUCCAUCGCUGAGUCUAUCCUUGGUCAGGGACGAGCAAGAGGUAAGCUUGGGGGAGUUUGUUGACGGUCCCUAAGUAUCAAAUUUAAUUAUCAAAUAAACAAAGAAAAGGAUCCAAAUAAAAUCAACAUCUAGACUUAGGGUUUUAUCUGACAGAAUUCCACGAGUUUUGGUGUUUGUCUAUUUCUGCAGGGGGGUAUCAGGAAAUACGGAAGAAAGGCCCACACGUCGGGAUUACAUAGAGAUAUCAACGUGACGCACAAUUAUCUUACAUCUAGAAGACUCCAGAAGCCACAGGAAGGAAGCGGAGGCCGAACGGAGCUAGGCCCUGGGUGCCCGCCUAGUUGACCUAGGCGCCCGCCCCCUCCUGGAGUCCAAACAGGACUCUCUUUCGGGAAAGAGCUCCACCGACCUAAAGGAUCAAGGAUAACCGUUCAAUCAAUGUUGGUUUGAUCCAACGGCCCAUAUUCACUUGAAGGGACUAUAAAACCAGACCCCCUGGCCCCUGGAGGAGAGAGCCUCUCAACCCUAAUUCAUUAUUCUCAAGGGAGAAGAAGCCUCUGAUCAAGUUUAGAGCCACCACAUCAAUUAGACAUCUAGAUUAGCAUAGCUACAUAGGAUUAGAACUAGAAGGAGUCAAUCUUCAAUUGGUUUCUGGAUCUGUCAAGAGGAUUCUUGGUAAUUCUCUUAUUGUUAUUCUAAUUGUUCUUCAAAUCAUCUUUGUUCUUCAAUAUUAUGAAUAUGACUUUGUUCUACUUCAAUAUAUUGCUUAUGACUUUGCUCUACUUAUUUAUAUUCAAGAUUAUAUUGUUCUUAGUUUAUCAUGGUUAUAUAUUUGGUUUAGUUAGGUUGGAAUUAUAUACAUGAUUAGGAUCGUAUAGCGUUUAUCCAUCGGAUCCAUGGGUAAAUGAUAGAUAUUGUGUAGGCGUGGUGCUUAUACCAUAUUUAUCUGCGAUUGUACCCAAUAUGCCAGAUCGUGGGGUAGUUCGUGAUAGUGACAGCUUCAUUGAUUCUUAUAUAGUCCCCCUCUCGUGUAUUGGGCUGGCAGAACAACAUUAUUAUAGGGGAGUGAUUGCUAUGUUUCUCAUAUUCCUUGCUAAUAUCACUAUGCAUGGGCGUAGUCUUGUCUCGCAAUGAUUGCUAAGUAUGCUUGCCCUAACUAUGAUAAUGCUAGACUAUAUAGUUGAGAAUAACUUAGGAAAUAUUCUUGUAGUUCGUUCUAAUUCCAUGCUAAUGACUUUCUAGAAUAUCUAAUUGAGGUGGUUAUCAUAUUUAUAUGUGGCUAGUUAUGCUGAUCAGAUUAAUUAUCUUUGUCACUAUUCAUUACUUGAUAUAUCUUUUCUGUGACACUUACCCCUGUAUGAAAGAGUUAGAUAAAUGUUCUCAAUUAUACAUGCAAUGAUAGAUACUCAAUCUCAUAUUCCGUUCUAUAAUCAAUUUUGAUGAUUGCUAAUCCCUUCCCAGUGGUAAAAAUAUAAAUAACGAUACCUCGAAUACUCCCCGGUGAAAAUGCUACAUCGGAAUUAAUCUGUGCGCUUGCAGAUCCCAUUCAUUAUUUAUUUAGAAGAGCAAUUGCAUAUUUCAAUACAGUGUCUCUCAUGUCAUGCUGGGGAUGACAACUUGGCUUAAGUGGUACGAGGGAUAGGUUUGGCAUUUUUUGCACCGUUAUCAGAAUUAGAAAACUAAGUCUACUUUUGGUAAUAAUGUUAAGAAUACCCAACAGUGGGCACUCUGCUCCACAAACUUUUUGGCUAAGUUCUUUCCCAUGAGCAAGACCAAUGCUCUCUGUGGGAAAAUUACAUGUUUCCAGCAACAACAUGAUGAAUCCGUUCCAGAAGCAUAGGAGCACUUCCAGGACUACAUCCUAGAAUGUCCCUAUCAUGGAAUGGAGAGCUGGCUACUGAUGCCGACGUUUUAUCAUGGGCUCGGCAAUAGUGCCCGAGAGACCAUGGAUGCUGCAGCUGGAGGAGCAUUCCUAUCACUCACCAUAUCACAAGCCACAACUCUUGUGGAGAAGAUGGCGUCCAACCAACGCCGGAAUGAAGAAAAGACCCAGACACGCAAGAGAGGUGGAGGUAUGCAUCAGCUCAAGGAGGUAGACAUGCUGUCUGCAAAGCUAGACCUACUCAUGAAGAAGCUCGAUGAUAAAGCUGGAGACAAGAAAGAAGUUAUGCACAUCUAUGACUCUCACAUGACUUGUGAGGAGUGUGGAGAUACUGGACACUCAGGCAAUCACUGCCCUGAGAUGCUUGAGGAUGUGAACUACAUCAACAACAACAAUAACAAUUACUACAACCAUCCUCAACAAAAUCAAGGCUGGAAUCAACAGAGGCCUAACUACUCAGGUAAUUAUCAAGGUAACAAUUCUUACAACAAUAAUAAUAAUUUUCCACCUCUGAGAGAGUUAGUGUCUAAUCAAGGAAAGCUAAUGGAUAACCUAUCUAAGAAAUUGGCAUCUAAUGAUAAAAUGUUAGAAAAUAUAAAUAAUAGAAUGGAUAAUUUAUCUACUACCAUCAAGAAUCAAAUUAGCUUUAAUAAAAAUAUUGAAUCUCAGUUAAAUCAAAUAGCUGUUGCUGUUCCUGCUACUAACCCAGGUAUACCAUCACAACCGGAAGGAUUAGAAUCUGCAGAUCUUGUAGACAUGUUUGAUGCAGGUAACUACUGGAGUAACCCCGUCACUGAAGUUACUACUGACCUUCUCCCGGUCAAGAGAGGCGAUCCAGGACGCCCCGUCAUCCCGAUCUCCAUCGGCAUGGUGGACUUCCCAGAAGCACUCUGUGACUUUGGCUCUAGUGUCAACAUUAUGCCCAGGGUACUCUAUGGAAACUUCUUUACAUAUCCUUUAUUUGAAACAACCAUGUGUUUGCAGUUUGUAGAUCAAACGCUAAGUUUCCCAAAUGGAAUAUUAAAGAACCUCUGUUUCCGAGUUGGUACCUUGUAUGCCCCAGCAGACUUCGUGGUGAUAGAGACCGGUAAUGAUGAGAGGGCACCCGUCAUCUUAGGGAGGCCAUUCCUGAACACCUUGGGAGCUGUCAUCUACGCUAGUGCUGCCAAUAUCAAUUUCUACAUCAAAGGGUGAAAGGAGACGUUUACCUUGAAGAACAAGACUACACAAAUCCCAGAGCAAUCCCAACAUGAACCAAGGAAGAGGACCAACGGGAGGAACAGGAACAAGCAAGUGUGGACAGAGUCAGCUAAGAUGGUCACUGCAGUUCAUGGAGGUCAAGAUCAUCGACUCAAGUCACCGUUUCUGACCAAGAAGGAUGACCCAGGAAUGCCAAGCAUUCAUUGCUCCAUCAAUGGGUACAACUUCUACAAGACACUUUGCGACACCGGAUCGGGCGUCAAGAUAAUGGCCGCAGUCACCUAUCAGCUCUUGUUCGGAACCAUGCCCUUCAAACCAACAUACAUUCAGCUCUAGAUGGCAGAUCAGACAUUCCGAAAGGUUGAAGGUAUAGUAACUGAUGUCUCUGUCAAAAUAGAUGAUCAUUUUGUCCAUACAGACUUUUAGGUUAUUAACAUGGGAGAAGACGAGUACGACCCACCCAUCAUCCUUGGGAGACCUUUCCUCAGCACCGUUAAAGCAAUUAUCUACAUUGAAACCAGAGAACUCCACAUGCACUUCCCCUCAGAGAAGGUACGCCGCUAUUUUACUGACCCUAAUUAUAUCAUUGAAGACCAGGUCAGGACAAGAAGAAGACGACGCAAGAGGAGGCAAAUCAUCAAGGACGGAUGGGCAGACUACGAAGGAGAAGUUGUAAGGUCUGAAGACAUACAGCUUGAACAGAAUUGUCCUAAGGAGACCGUAGCACCGAGUCAGGUGUGGAGAGAGAAGAUAGAUAUACAUGAAGAAGAGGCGCCGCCGGAACCACCUACUACGACAUCCAGUGAAUUCCAGGAUGACUAAGAAAACAGAGAGUCCCGUUCGGAGGACUUAAAAACACCGAACGCCUUGCCAAGAGGUAAACUUGGUAGUUAUCCUUUUCCUUUCAACUAUUUCAAAAAGUCCACUUAGUUAAUUAGGUACGUACUAUCCUAAAAAAGAAAAUAAAAAUGUUAAAAAAUAGUAAGCCCCAUGUGAGUAUACAAGUGGCAUAAAACCCAUAAGUACAUUCACUGUGGUGGCAUAAAAAUAAAAUACAUAUAUUCGUCCUCUAUAAAAUUAAAAUAUAAAAAUAGAGAGUAACACUUAUUGAGGAGGCUCAACAUGAUAAAGGCCAGAUAUUUAUGCUAACACCUAAUCAGUUCCACAAAGAUUUGUUGUCUAUUUGAGCUUUCACGGUACUGCCAACUUUCAAAGACACCUCUGCCACCUGCUAGCUACAUGAGAAGAAAUUACGUCAAAAUUCAGCUUGGGGGAGAGCACCCCCAUUUAUCCCGCUAAGUAUUUCUAUCUACAUUUAUACAUAUACUACAUUAAAAUAUAAAUAUACAUAACCAUGAAAAACCAAAUAAAGAAUUUGUGCUUAUAUAUAUCUUUUGCUUAGUAUGCUUAAUAAAUAAAUAAAGUGGCUAUGCUAAACUGAAUCUUAAUAAUAGAACUCUAGCAUGCAUAUGAUGAAUAGUUAUUGUGCCUAAUUUUCAAAUUUGAAGUUCUCUCUAGUUUAGACAUAACUGUUAUAAUUUAAAGCUUGCUCUAGACCUGAACUUGUGGGAAGAGAACUUGAUCUGAAGUCUAAGUUGUUAACGGAUAUGAGAUGGGAAGGUUGAGCUGCUGUUUAUCUGUUCCUAGAGAUGCUAGAAAUCUGGAGAAUUUUACCUUUGAAAAUCUUUAAAAUAACACAUGAUGAGUUCCUGUAUGAUGAGAGUUUAAAUUCCUACCAUAGCCAUAUAUGCAUGCUUGCUAGACUUUGAGCCACACAUUUAUUUUUUUUACUACUUAUGAGCAUUGAGUAUGGUCAAGCUGUGUAGACCCUUAGGAGCUUGUCAUGUGGUUAAAUCAAGAUUCACUUGCACGUUCACUCACACAUGCUGCUUCUACUCCGGAAGUACGCAUCCACAUAUAUCCACUCAUUUCCAUCUCCAGAACCACCCAAAAGUAUUCUACUCCUAAUCCGGGAGAGAAUAGCCAAAAUAUUUCAGUUUUUCCCUAUGAAACAAAUGCUCAAGUUAUCUUGGUUACUACCACUUGCUACAUUAUUUCAAGAAAUGAGUGCUCUAAAAAAAGAAGAAGAAAAAGUAUACGAGGAAAUAAAUAGGGGCAAGUGCCCGGAACCUCGAAAGAAAAUAAAAAGUGAGACGAGAGGUAAAAAUAUACAAGUGUCCGACAGUAGAAUUAGGGGUACAAGAUACCCACCUGUGAGGAAAGAAAAAGAAAAUAUAAAGCAUCUCACUCUCCUCAAAAGUUUCAAAAGAGCAAGAAAGGUAUGUAUUCCCUCAAAAGAGCAAAAGUAUAAUUAGAAUUUCACCAUUGUUAUCACCAUCAUCACCAUACAUCAUUCAUUCGCCACACAUUCUCAUCUUGAUUUGACUUAUUGACUUGUAUCUUUGGAUCCAUGGUUUGACUAUGCAAUAAAUGUCUUAUAAGUAUGUAUACUUUAUCUCCCACCUAUGAGCUCCAGAUAUCAAAGCCUUAUUAGAGUAGGGUGAGAGAGAAGGCAAUGUCACUAUGCCUCGUACCAAAAAUACCA